AAUCUAACAAUUACGAGUAAUGUCUUUGUGACAAGAACUUUCUUUGUCUUUUAUUCCCAUGUUUGAACUAGUAUAGGUCGGGGUUACACAUUAUGGUGCACAUCACUUUAUUUAUCAUCGUUACAUUGAACGCUCAUUGACUAAACAACGAUGAUCCAUCCAUCUUGUAUUGUAGGUCUUCAUUUCAUUGGCCACCGAUGCUUGUAAGACUAGUCUCAUAUGGUUGUUGUUGUGGAUAUGGUUGUUGAGGUUGGUGUGGUUGCUGGGGUUGCUGGGAAAUUGUUUGUUCUGGUUGCUGGGAUAAUUGUUGUUGGGGCUGUAGAAAUGGUUGUUGUGGUUGUUGGGGUAAUGGUUGUUGUGGUUGCAGGAUGGAUGGUUGUUGGGGUUGCUGGGGUUGGGGCUGGGGAAAUGAUUGUUGUGAUUGUUGGGGUUGCUGGGGAAAUGGUUGUUGCGGUCCUAGGAGGAAUGAUUAUUGUGGUUGUUGGGGGAAUGGUUGUUGNNNNNNNNNNNNNNNNNNNNNNNNNNNNNNNNNNNNNNNNNNNNNNNNNNNNNNNNNNNNNNNNNNNNNNNNNNNNNNNNNNNNNNNNNNNNNNNNNNNNNNNNNNNNNNNNNNNNNNNNNNNNNNNNNNNNNNNNNNNNNNNNNNNNNNNNNNNNNNNNNNNNNNNNNNNNNNNNNNNNNNNNNNNNNNNNNNNNNNNNNNNNNNNNNNNNNNNNNNNNNNNNNNNNNNNNNNNNNNNNNNNNNNNNNNNNNNNNNNNNNNNNNNNNNNNNNNNNNNNNNNNNNNNNNNNNNNNNNNNNNNNNNNNNNNNNNNNNNNNNNNNNNNNNNNNNNNNNNNNNNNNNNNNNNNNNNNNNNNNNNNNNNNNNNNNNNNNNNNNNNNNNNNNNNNNNNNNNNNNNNNNNNNNNNNNNNNNNNNNNNNNNNNNNNNNNNNNNNNNNNNNNNNNNNNNNUGCAGGGGGAAUGGUUGUUGGGGAAUUAUUUGUUCUGGUUGCUGGGGGAAUGGUAGUUGGGGCCGGGGAAAUGGUUGUUGGGGUUGCUGGGGGAAUGGCUGUUGUGGUUGCAGAGGGAAUGAUUGUUGGGUCUGGGGAAAUGGUUGUUGUGAUUGCUGGGAAAAUUGUUGUUGGGGUGUGGGAAAUGGUUGUUGCGAUGGAUAUGGUUGCUGUGAUGGAUAUGGUUGUUGUGGAUAUGGCUGUUGUAGAAAUGGUUGUUGUUGAUAGGAAAAUGAUUGUUGAGGUGAUUGUAAUUCUUUGUUGCUAGGGUUUAGCUGCCUAGCGGCAGUGGCGAUGUUCAUCGCCAUGGCAAGGAGGACAAAGAUGAGGAAGGUCUUCAUGUUGGAUUUGUGGUUACUACUGCUUGCUUGCUUUUGAUGCUUGUGGUCUAGGUGUGUGAAGUUUGGAUGAUGAAAUGUGGUCUUGGUGGUGCAUGUGUAUUUAUAGUUUUCAUGGCAUGGCUUGCUUUCUUCUUCCCACUCGCUUUUUGAAAAAGUGCACCAAUGCUUAUCCAACUAAUCAUUUGAUUUGUUGUGUUUGGUGCAACUACUUACUAGCAAGAUUUUGGAUUUUCAUGAUAGUUGCUUUUUGUUGAAAUCAUCUGGUUGUAAGGAAUGUUGGAUAAUGACCAAUGACUCAUCUUCUUCACUUUACACUGCAAACAUUGAUCUAAAUUAUAUCCUUUUUUGAAAUUUAGUUUGUGAAGCUCUACAUGUUGUUAGGCUUAUCUAUAUUGGCAUAGCUUGAGUGGAAUUAAGUUUGUAAGCUUGUGAGCGUCAUUAUGAUGGAUCACACUAUUAAUGUGAUGAUUGUACUACAAAUUAUCUUUCCAAAACUAAUUUUAUGUUUUUUCCCAAUAUGAUUCUAAGACGGAUAACCAGACAUGACUCAUCAAAUAACAAGAUAAACCGAGUAGCAAAUUGGGGUUAUAAGUUAUAACAUGGACUUUUCUCUAAGAUACACUAUCUUGUCUUGCAUGCUCUGUGAAUUUGAAAAGCAUCUACUAAUUUAUAUGCAAUUGAAACAAAAGUAGACCAGAAAGAUAAGCAAUGAAAUGAGAAUACUAUUAUGUGAAGCUCUACAUGUUUGGCAAGCAAUAAGAUACUGGAUACAUCUAUAUCUUCAAUCCUGACAAUUUUUCUCAUCCCUAUCAACUCUUUAUUGGCUGCCUUUACUGUAGUCAUCCCUUAAAUAAAAAUCACUUAAAGAUAAGUUUGGGAGCUAGUACCAGCAUCUAUCAUGUACAAGAUAAAAAACUAAGGCACAUAUAGUAGUCUAUUGACUAUAUUUAAUUUCAUGUGAUGUGAAAGCAUGUGGAGUAUAAGUUGGUUAAAUAUAAAAUUGUCCUUCAUACCAGUAGGGAAAGAAUAUGCAGUAUAAAGAUUAGAGCAUUAUUAAUAUGCUAUUAAAUGCUACAGGAUAAUCGAUAGUUCAAGUUAAGAACAACAAUAGCAUUCCAACUUUUGUUUUGUGCAAGUUAAGAACAUGCUAACAAAGUAACCUAAGCAAAUAAGUGCAACACCUUCACCUAUAAGGAAAUUUUGAAACUACACAAAAUGACCUAUUGUAAAGAAGGAAAAAAAUCUAAAGGUGAAUGAAAAGCAUGUUAAGUACAUUCAGGAUUCGGUUAUGCCUUCAUGGAUAACCUUUUAGAUGGUGACUUGUCAACCUUGAUGUGUGUCGGCAUGGAACGAGGACAAGAAGACAUCGUUACGUCGUACUUUGGGAAUUUCAUCAAACUGGUUGUGUGCGGGAACAAAUAUUUGUCGCCUCCCUGCUCAAAUCUCUCUUCAUGUCACUAAAUCCGACACUCCACCUACCAAAAUCAGCUGCAAGCCAGGGACAAUCAACAGGUUUCUCCGCCCGUAGCAUCUAUCACCAAAAGAAGUUCAGACUAUAGUCUUGUAGUUUAAAAUUUUGUAAUAACAAGCACUACUAGGUUGCUCUUGUUUGUACGUCUUCAUUAUGUACAACCCAUGGAACUUAAAAUGCAUGGGUCAUUCUUCGGUAUAUACAACCAAUGCAACCAAACAUGCAUUGGGCUUUUCUUUGUACAUCUUCAGGUUCUACAACCAAUGCAACAAAAAAUCCAUUGGGCAGUCUUCCAUUCUAGUCGGGCACCAAUAGUUAAACGAGGAGCUAAACAGUGUUGGAGUCUAAAACUACAUACAAUCAUGAAGCAGAGAGAUGCGACUUGGAAGUUGUGCUCCUGUGAGCUCGUAUUUUUGAAGAAAAAAGUAAUAUUUGUAUUUUGAAGUGGGAAAAAGUCCUAAAAAGGGAUGUUUUGCGGGUUAUAACUUACUAUUUUUGAGUCCUGGGCUGCAGGAAGGUCGUAAAAAAUCAAUGUGUUUUCCCAUUCAUGCAUGUUUCUUGGGUUAUAGGUCACGCUUUUGGUGUCCUAGGGAGAUCACUUCCCCAGUUGGGAACAUUAGGUGAUGAUUUUUAGCAAAACUCAUUGUUUUAGCCUAACUAGUUUCGAGGAUUGGUGGACAAGAUUAUCAUGGAACAAAGUGACAACCUUCCUUUUCUUCAUGCCUAAUAUAAACUUAGCAGUCAACUAAAAGUAACUAGCGAUAUCACAGAAUGUUUUUUUGUCAAAAGUAGAUACCACUUCAGGAUUCAACUCGGUUAGUUCAAUCAUAGACAUGUUAAGAGCAGGAUUUACAACUAACUGCAUAGGGAACAUCUCCUUUUAUCGCCCACUAUCUGUCUAUGCACUUUGGUUUUCCCGUAGCAGCACACAAAGCACUUUGUUAGUACCAAUAAUGUGCUCCAACUCUACACAUUAAUCAUCUUGAAUUCUUCUACUGAUGUCGAACAAUGUUAUAUCUUGAAUUCUUCUAACGAGUUCAGAUUAUACUACAUGGGCAAUUUAUCUGGUCCCUGAGAUGCAAGGUCGAUGAACAAUCGCUUCGUCUGAUGAUGAGGGAUUGUUUUUGCCUAAGAAACCAAUACAUGUAACUUCGACGCCAGAUUAAUAAUUGGUAAAACCCAAAUAAAUUAGAUCACGAGCUAAACCAUUUAAUUUUGUAUGCAUUUAAACUUUUGAUACAUAUGAGCUUGUUAAGAUGUUCGCAUAAACACCAUGGUGAUUUGAAGCAAGACAAAGUAAACUUGAACCGCUUGAGCCACUGACUUAAUAAGAACCUCCUUUCCCGUGGCAGAGAUCGUUUUUAAUACAUCCACUCACUUUGGUUCUCUUAUGAAAUCUAGAUUCCUUCGCUAAGGCUAUUGCUCCAGUAUUGUCACAAAAGAUUUUUGUUGGACCCGAUGCACUAGGUAUGACACCUAGAUCGGAUAUGAACUCCUUCAUCCCGACUCCUUCAUUUGCUACUUCCGAAGCAGCUAUGUACUCCUCUUCACAUGUAGAUCCCUCCACGACGCUUUGCUUGAAACUGCACCAACUGACAGCUCCACCAUUCAAUAUAAAUACGUAUCCGGUUUGUGACUUAGAGUCAUCCAGAUCAGUGUCAAAGCUUGCAUCAACGUAACCAUUUACAACGAGCUCUUUGUCACCUCCAUAAAUGAGAAACAUAUCCUUAGUCCUUUUCAGGUAUUUCAAGAUGUUCUUGACCGCUAUCCUAUGAUCCACUCCUGGAUUACUUUGGUACCUCCCUGCUAAACUGAUAGCAAGGCACACAUCUGGUCUGGUACAUAGCAUUGCAUACAUGAUAGAACCUAUUGCUGAAGCAUAGGGAAUGACUUUCAUUUUCUCUCUAUCUUCUGCAUUGGUCGGGCAUUGAGUCUAACUCAACUUCACACCUUGUAACACAGGCAAGAACCCUUUCUUUCCUUGAUCCAUUUUGAACUUCUUCAAAACUUUAUCAAGGUAUGUGCUUUGUGAAUGUCUAAUUAACCGUCUUGACCUAUCUUUAUAGAUCUUGAUGCCCAAUAUAUAAGCAGCUUCACCGAGGUCUUUCAUUGAAAAAUUCUUAUUCAAGUAUCCUUUUAUGCUAUCCAGAAAUUUCGUAUCAUUUUCGAUCAACAAUAUGUCAUCCACAUAUAAUAUCAGAAAUGCUACAAAGCUCCCACUCACUUUAUAAAGGCUUCUCCAAAAGUCUGUAUAAAACCAUAUGAUUUGAUCACACUAUCAAAAUGUAUAUUCCAACUCUGAGAGGCUUGCACCAAUCCAUAAAUGGAUCACUGGGCUUGCACACUUUGUUAACACCUUUUGGAUCGACAAAACCUUUUGGUUGCAUCAUAUACAACUCUUCUUUAAGAUAUCCAUUAAGAAAUGCAGUUUUGACAUCCAUUUGCCAAAUUUCAUAAUCAUAAAAUGCGGCAAUUGCUAACAUGAUUUGGACAGACUUAAGCAUCGCUACGGGUGAGAAGGUCUCAUCAUAAUCAACUCCUUGAACUUGUCGAAAACCUUUCGCAAAAAGUCGAGAUUUGUAGACAGUAACAUUACCAUCAUCGUCAGUCUUCUUCUUGAAGAUCCAUUUAUUCUCUAUGGCUUGCCGAUCAUCGGGAAAGUCAACCAAAGUCCACACUUUGUUCUCAUACAUGGAUCCCAUCUCAGAUUUCAUGGCCUCAAGCCAUUUCGAGGAAUCUGGGCUCAUCAUUGCUUCCUCAUAGUUUGUAGGUUCAUCAUGGUUGAGUAACAUGACCUCCAGAACAGGAUUACCAUACCACUCUUGUUGGGAAUAUGACUACCAGGUAUGACCCGCCCAGGAGGGGCCGGGUCAAUCCUAAUGGCGGGUUACUAAAAGAAGCUCAGUGAAUAUACAAGGCGAUAGUUUAUUAUAAGACUUGUAGUAGGACCAAGCCCAAAGGCGGGUUAAGGCCCAUAAUUGUAAACCGCCAUGUAUAAGAAAGAAUUGUAAAGAAAGGCAUGUAAGAGAAGUCACCGAGCCGGGCACGUUAUAUGAGCCGGCUGGGACUCUGUAGGCCGCCAGGCGUCAACCCGUGUAUAUAAGGGGACGACCCGGUGGCGGCUUAGGGCAAGUAACAUCAAAUCGAGAGCCAUGCAUAGCGUAUUUGCUCCCUGGUCAUCGAAACCUAGCAAUACCACAUCAACUGGACUAGGCUUUACCUUCACCGUAGGGGGCCGAACCAGUAUAAACCUUUCGUGUCCUUUGUCCCGAUUAACCCCUUUAAGCUUCCUAGUUGCGAUGGCUCCACGACUAAGUCCUUUCAGUAGGACAUCUGCCGUGACAAUUCCACGACAGUUGGCGCCCACCGUGGGGCCAUCGCACGAUGGAUUUGAGUUCUUGAAGGGCAGCUUCCAAGGGCUCAAGGGAUACGCUGUGGGCCGGAUAACCAAAAGUUGUCACAGCAAGCUCUACAUCGACGACGCAGGCUGGGGCCCCGAGGCUGGCUCAAUCGAGUACGGGUACCGGGUCCCCUUCGGCGGAAUCCACGUCUUCAUCGGCCGGAUCGGCGAGCCGGGCCCUGAGUCGGACAUCUGCACCGACCUCAUCGAGAUGGCUCAGCGAGUGAGACCUGCCCGGGCUCAACCUGCCGUGAGGCGUGCCUUCGUGGGUUGCAUCCAUGGAGGGGAAUUUUCUGAAGGAUCGAUGGACGGUGGUGAGACAGUCGUUUGCUCUAGCAGUGAGUCGUCCAUAGGCGAGACAGAUUCUUUGUAUCAGCUACAAGAUGGCGGGCUUGGGGGCUGUUCCGAUGGCAGUAGUAUUCCGGACCCCUCUGAGCCGCCGAAUCGAGCCGGAGUCUUCAUGGCUGGCACUCAACCUGGUUAGAAUUCUAUGGCUGCGGCAGCAAUAACCACUGGGUCAGCAGGGGCCGGGUCAGGAGACCCCGCGCGCCCACCGGCUCAGGUACUAAUGGACCUCAUGGAUAGGAUGACGGCCCUGUUGACUGCUGUGGUUGAGCCGGCAGAUAAGGCUCAGCAUGACGCAGAGGUAGCACAGCUACACAGAGAGGUAGCACAGGCCAAGGAAAAUUUAGUGGCGGAAGAUGUCAGGAUGGCCGCGGAACGGGCGGCUCUGGAUGCACGGGCUCGGCAGCUUCAAGCGAAGACUUUCUGGCUCUCGGUGGAUCUGAACGCAUCAAACGAGGUCACGAGGAGAAGGCACCAGAAGGCUCAAUCAUGUCUGCCUCUGACUUACGAUCCUAGGAACCUUUUUCACACACCCGGGACUGGUCCCAGUAACCCGCUGAAGGCAAACCGGAUCACAACACCCGGGACCGGGACGCCGGUUCAACCGCGGGCCAUGGAACCACCGCGUGUGAAUACUGCUCUGCCUCACUACACAGCGAUACCACCGGGUCACUUCUCUAACCCCUUGGAGAACCUUAUUGCUGCGUCGGCUCAUCUGGCGGCUCUCCCGAUGGAAGGUGACUCUUCGACGGCGAUCGAGACACGACGGGUCAGAGAACUUCUUCAGACGGCUCUGGCACAGCAGGAUGCAUAUUCUUAUAGUUGAGAUAGAAUCCAUUCAACCCCUCGCCCAAGCCGGAGCCCAAGCUAUAGCAGGCAUAUGGACUCGGCGGCCAUGUCAAGCAACACCCAGCGCCGUAACCAUCCACGUGGGCGUGACCCGGCCCCGGGCGGAGCUUGUAACUUGGUAGACCAGGAGAGGAUCCGUCAAGAGGCUGAACGGGUGGUUCAACAGGCGGCUGAGCAAGCGGCUCACCAAGCUUUUCCAAUUUAUACAGUGACCUCUGUUGAAGCAGGGGUGGCCACAAGGACAGGAGGAGUCCCUUGUCUUGUGCAGUCUCUGCGUAAUGAGCGUUUACCAAAGGACUUUAAGGGGCCUCGUAAGGUGCCCAAUUACACAGCCGACCUGCAGCCCGGAGCAUGGAUUGAAAGUUACGAGAUGGCCAUGGAGUUAUUAUAAGUCAGUGACGCAGCAAUGGCCAAAUACUUCACCAUGAUGUUGGAUGGAACAGCUCGUACUUGGUUAAAGGGGUUACCGCCCAACUCCAUCGGCUCAUGGGCGGAGUUGAAGGCACGGUUCAUUCAGAACUUUAAAGAUACCUGUAAACAGCCCAUGUCAAUCGUGGACUUGACUAACUGCAAGCAAGAGGAAGGCAAAUCCAUGACCCAUUGGGUGCGCCGGGUCAAGGAAAUAAUACAUUCAUCUGAUAAGAUGGAUGCCAGCUCCACGGUCUUAAUGUUGGAGAAAAAUUACCGUUUUGAACCUCUGAAACAGAAGCUGGGGCGGCUCAAGCAUGAUUGUAAUGACAUGGGCCAGUUGAUGGCGGCUCUGGUCAAAUAUGCUGACUCUGACAGUACCAAGGAUCCCAUGUCUGACGAAGAGAAGACGAGGAAGGGAAAGAAGAACGGCAACGGCAAGGGUCACCAGCAUAACCCGACAAAUCAAGGAGGUAAUAAACGCAAGGCUGACGAGUUUGUGGCUAACACCAAUGCACAUGGCAACAACCAAUGGCGCAAGGGGAGGCCACCUCCUCGGUCAGGCGGAUCAGGUCCCACCCUCGAGCAACUACUAAAUGAACCCUGUCCGGGACAUGGCACCCGGGAGAAGCCGGCUACCCAUCUGUGGAAGGAUUGUACGAUCAUGAAGGCUUUUAAGAAUUCUAACAUGUUUGAUGGUAACCACGGGCCUGCUGGCGGCUCAGGCGGUGGCGGUUUUCAUGGCCAAGGCCAUCCGGGUAGUCAAGGCGAUUAUAGUCAGCAAUCCGGCCAGGGCAGUCAGCAACAGCAGCAACAGCCCGUGUAUCAGAGUAACCCAAAACAGCUGAACAGUGGACAGUACCAUGUGUUUACCACCAGUUUGUGCAAGAGGGACCAGAAGCUUCAGAAGAGGGAUGUAAAUGCUAUUGAGCCGGCGGUUCCACGUUAUUUGAGAUGGUCUGAACAACCUAUUCUGUGGAGUAGGGAAGAUCACCCACCCCGGGUUGAUAAUCCGGGUCAUCUGGCUUUGGUGGUGGCGCCUCAGGUUGGUGGAUAUAAGUUCACUAAAGUGCUCAUGGACGGAGGCAGUAGCAUCAACGUCCUCUAUUAUGAGACGUUCUGUCGCAUGGGGUUGACUGAUAAGAGUCUUAAAACAUCCAACACUGUUUUUAUGGGGUAGUGCCUGGUAAGUCGGCGUACCCAGUUGGUAAAAUUGAGCUGGAAGUGGCCUUUGGAGAUGAGUAUGAUUCUAGGGCUGAGAAGCUAACUUUUGAAGUGGUUAAAAUCAAGAGCCCAUAUCACGCUCUGUUUGGACGGCCGGCUUAUGCUAAGUUCAUGGCCCGGCCGUGUUAUGUGUAUUUGCAGCUCAAAAUGUUGGGUUAUAAAGGCACUAUCAUAGUACAUGGAAGCCGGAAAAUAGCCCUGGAAUGUGAAGAAGGUGAUGCUGCAUAUGCCGAGUCUGUUUGUGCAACAGAGGAAUUGAAGUUUUAUAAGGAUAAUGUUGACCCGGCAAACAUGGCGUCUUUGAAGAAGCCAACUACGGAGCAUGAGCCGGCAUUGAAAUUCAAGUCCGCUGAUGACACCAAGAUGAUUGAUUUCGUGUCUGGCGACUCAUCCAGACACUUCAUUAUCAGUGCUAACUUGGAUCCAAAAUAGGAAAGCGUGCUCAUCGAGUUCAUCCAUGAGAACCGGGACAUCAUUGCAUGGAAGCCUUCUGACAUGCCGGGUGUUCCGAGAGAACUCGUUGAGCACACUCUCAAUAUUCAUCCAAAGUUUAAGAUGGUCGGGCAAUUUCUUCGGCGGUUUAACGAGGAAAGGUGCAAGGCCAUUGGAGAAGAGGUGGCCCGGCUCUUGGCGGCCGGGUUCAUUGUUGAAGUUUUUCACCCAGAGUGGUUGGCUAACUCGGUGCUUGUGCUUAAAAAGAACGGCACCUGGCGCAUGUGUGUGGAUUACACAAAUUUAAACAAGGCUCGUCCAGCUGAUCCUUUUGCUCUCCCUCGUAUUGAUCAAAUCAUUGAUGCUACGGAGGGUUGUGAGCGUUUGAGUUUUCUGGAUGCUUAUUCGGGUUAUCAUCAGAUCAAGAUGGCAGUUAAGGACCAGGAGAAAACAGCUUUCAUCACUCCGUUUGGAGCCUUCUGCUAUGUGUCUAUGCCUUUUGGGCUCAAGAGUGCCCACGCGACUUAUCAGCGGUGUGUACAAAAUUGCCUUCAUAAUCAGAUUGGGUGUAAUGUUCAUGCUUAUGUGGAUGAUAUAGUGGUGAAAUCCAGAGAGAAGGAAACCUUAGUAGCUGAUCUAAAGGAAACCUUUGGUAACCUCCGGGUCUACAAGAUGAUGCUUAACCCGGCCAAGUGUGUUUUUGGAGUCCCAGCUGGCAAGCUCUUGGGUUUUUUGGUGUCUAAUGGAGGCAUUGAGGCUAACUCGGAGAAAAUAAAGGCAACCACGUCUUUGGCUAAACCGGCAUGCAUCAAUGACGUUCAGCGGCUGGCGGGCCGUGUCGCAGCUUUAAGCCGGUUUAUAAGUCGGUUGGGCGAGAAGGCUAUGCCAUUGUAUCAAAUGAUGAAAAAGGUGGAUGACUUUGUAUGGAGUGACGCUGCUGAUUCCGCUUUUGAAGGUUUGAAAAGACAGCUUGCUGGGCCACCUAUUCUUGCUGCCCCCGUUGAGAAGGAGCCGCUAUUGUUAUAUGUGGCUGCUAACUCACAAGCCGUCGGCAUGGCCAUUAUUGUGGAGCGCAAGGAGGUUGGCAAGGAACAUCCAGUUCAAUGGCCGGUUUACUACGUCAGUGAGGUGCUCAUUGGAUCCAAGAAAAGAUACCCACAUUAGCAAAAACUUGUUUAUGGGGUGUUCAUGGCAAGCCGGAAGCUUAAGCAUUACUUCCAGGGUCAUCCUAUCACUGUGGUUAGCUCUGCUCCUUUAGGAGAUAUUAUUUAGAACAGAGAAGCCACAGGACGAGUCGCCAAGUGGGCCAUUGAGCUUGGGGUCUCAUAAUAUAAAGUAUGUGCCACGUACGGCUAUUAAGUCUCAAGCACUGGUGGACUUCAUUAAUGAUUGGACGGAGUUACAGACACCUGAAGAGAAGCCAGACAACACAUAUUGGACGAUUCAUUUCGAUGGGUCCAGGCAGUUGGAAGGCUCGGGGGCUGGAGUUGUGUUAACUUCUCCUCGAGGUGACAAGUUUUGUUAUGUGUUGCGAUUGAUGUUUCCUUGUACUAACAAUGCAGCAGAAUAUGGGGCCUUGCUCCAUGGUCUUCGAAUGGCUAAAGAGAUGAGUUUAAGACGGGUACGGUGCCUUGGCGACUCAGAUUUGGUGGCUCGGCAGGUGUCAGGCAAGUGGGAUUCCAAGGACCCUCUCAUGGCGGCUUAUCGCCGGGAAGUUGAUGAUGUUGUUGGACAUUUCAAAGGUUAUCAGGUGGAGCACAUUGACCGCAGAAAAAACAAAGCGGCUGAUGCUUUAAGCCGGUUGGGAUCACAGCGUAAGCUGGUGCCACCUAACACUUUUCUAGAUGUUCUUCAAAACCCUUCUGUCAAACUGCCUACAGAGGAAGAUUUGGUCAUUCCAGACCCGGAGGCACAGUUAGUAGCGGCUCUUCAUGUUAUUCCAGAUUGGACAUUACCGUAUUUGGCUUACAUGACCCGGGGUGAGUUGCCAGAGGAUGAGACCUUGGCUCGACAGAUAACCCGACGGUCUAAGUCAAUGACAAUUUCCAAUGGUGAGUUGUAUCAUCGCAGCGUCACUGGAGUGUUUCAACGUUGUGUCUCUCCCGAAGAAGGUCAAGAAAUUCUUCGUGAGAUCCAUGAAGGGGAUUGUGGUCAUCACGCUGGUUCAAAGUCUCUUGUGGCUAAAGCUUUUCGUCAUUGUUUUUACUGGCUAACGGCUCACGCUGAUGCAGAGGAUCUGGUCAGUAGGUGUGAUGGGUGUCAAAAAUUUGCACGACGAGCGCACGUGCCGGCUUAAGAAUUGCGGAUGAUUCCAAUCACUUGGCCGUUUGCAGUCUGGGGGCUUGACAUGGUUGGACCUUUUAAAAGAUCCAAGGAUAAAAAGACACAUCUUUUGGUGGUAGUUCACAAAUUUACAAAAUGGGUUGAGGCAGAGCCGGUUAGUAAGUGUGAUGCAGCCACGAUGGUUCAGUUCAUGAAAAAGGUGAUCUUUCGUUUUGGCUUUCCACAUAGCAUUAUAACUGACAAUGGUACUAAUCUGUCCAAAGGCAACAUGGAGGAGUUUUGUCAAUGUGAGCAUAUCCGGCUUGAUGUUUUGUCUGUAGCUCACCCCCAAUCCAAUGGUCAAGCUGAGAGAGCAAAUCAGGAAAUCCUAAAAGGUCUCAAGCCCGACUUAUGGUUCGUUUACAACGGACGCCGGGUUGUUGGGUGGAGGAAUUACCCUCGGUGCUGUGGAGUAUCAAUACCACUCCUAACAGAUCUACAGGUUAUACACCUUUCUUCAUGGUUUAUGGAGCAGAAGCAGUUCUGCCUAGUGACAUCCGUCAUGACUCACCUCGCGUGGCGGCCUAUGUUGAAGCUGAUAAUGAACAAGCCCGACAGGAUGCACUUGACUUGUUAGAUGAGGAGAGAGAUUUGGCAGUGGCUCAAUCAGCAAUUUAUCAACAAGACUUGCGCCGUUAUCACAGCCGCCGGGUUAAGUCCAGAACCUUUCAAGAAGGUGACCUAGUGCUCCGGCUCAUCCAGGAUCUGUCUGAUGCACACAAGCUAUCCCCGCCUUGGGAAGGACCCUUUGUGGUCAACAAGAACUUAAACAAUGGGUCAUAUUACCUCAUUGAUGUUCGAGAGCACAAAGACCCACGUAAGUCGGAGGAGGAGACCCGCCGGCCGUGGAACAUCGCUCAGCUUCGGCCAUACUACACUUAAACCAUCGGCUCUCAUCAUGUACAUACUUUGACGUUGUAUAUAAUAUGAUAAGUAAUAAAGCAGGACCUCUGUCCUUUUUCCCCUUCAAUGAUCAUAUAUCUUUAUUAUUUUCAUUAUUUAAAAUGACCAUUAGGGGGCUGAUCGUAUCCGAAUCUAGCUUAACCCUUUUGGUCCGGCUCAUGAUCGUAUUCGAAUCUAGCCGUAAAACUCAUGGUCACUUGGGGGCUUCCUGUUCAAACAUAGGUCGUAUUCGAACCAAAGAGAACAUAGCUGUCGUAACCCUCUUGAUCGGCUCAAAGCCAAACUCACUAGGGGGCUUCUUGAUCGUAUCUGAAUCAUAGCUUAACCCCUUUUUGGGUCCAACUUGGAUCGUAUUCGAAUCAGGGUCGUUAAAAACCUCUCAAGGUCAUUUGGGGGCUUCCUAUUCAAACAUAGGUCGUAUUCGAACCAAAGAGAACAUAGCUGUCGGUACCCUCUUGAUCGGCGCAACGCCAAAGCCACUGGGGGCUAUAUGAUCGUAUCCGAAUCUUAGCUUAACCCCUUUGGUCCGGUUUACUGAUCGUAUUCGAAUUAGAAGCCUCCAGUUUUUAUUUAAAUGUUUGAUUUACAUUGUCUGAAGCCUAGUGUUUUAUCUUACUAUUUUUAUCGUCUCAAAUCUAACUGUUAGUAUGGUUUCAAAUUAAACCGGCUUGGCUAUUUGACAAUGUGUCGCCAAGGCAUAACAGUCAUCAGACAUAUGGAAGUAUUGACUUCUAAAAAAGAUUGGGUUAUCAACCUCAUCAUCCGGGUCAUGUAAACCGACAGUCCAUGUUCAAAAACCACAGGUAUGACAGUGUCAUUCAUGAACAGACUUCCCUGGGUUUUUCGUCAGUCAAAGGAUUUUUCAGCCUUGUUUAUCUUACAUCUGGUUCUAUUUUUUCCACUAUGAUAAUUUCAUAAUCAUGUACCGGGUGUUUUGACCCGUCCGGUGCUAAGCCACCGGGACAGUUUUUUUCAUCUUUUACAGGAACAGAGUUAAAACAUUACAGAUGUAACCACGAUGUAAUGCAUAUAUAUAUUGACAUCAUGGGCAAAGAGUCAUAUGAAACAUCUUAUGCACGAUGGCAUAGGCAAAAUAUGCAAUUUUCAAACUAACCUAUUACAAGGCAUUGAGAGCCCAAAAGGUUAAACGGUUUUCUCUCUUAAGCAGGUCUUAAGCUAAAAACUGGAUUGUUCAGAUGGUUAUGACUCCUCCCUGGCCGUUUCACCUCCCUCCACUGGUUGGAAGCUGGGAUUGGACCAGUCAAAGCCGUUCAGAGCAAUGAACUCAGCCUCAUCGUCAAUUAGGCCGGCCGGGUCAAUUUGCAGGGCAAAAGUGUGUUGACGAACCGGCGGGAUAAGAUCCAUCACUUUAUAAGAGGGAGUCGCCAUCUUUUUAUUCUCCAUAUCAAAACCCGACUGAUAUUUUUCGAUGUUGGUCUCCUCACCAAGAAUGGUAGCCUGAGGACGAACUCCCCUCACACAAGCAAUAAAGUCAUCUUGCUCAAACGGAGUCCCGUCUUCCUUCAUGGUAGGGUACCCCUUAGCCACGUCCACCGGGUGUAAAUCGGGCACCCAGGCUUUGGAGCGGCUCAGGGCAGUCAGGGCUCCGACUCUGGCACAAGAUCGUUUGACCUCUUGAAAUCUGGCGGGUAAGAUCGAUAACUUCUUCAAAACAUCACUUAAACGGUUGGGUCCUUGGUUGGCAGGGGAUAUAUAUAGUAGAAAGUGCUCGUUGAGCACCAGUGUACAGUUGCUCCACCAAGGUAUAAACCGCCUUCAGUUUUGUCACACUAUCUUGACUCAGAUAUUUUACUUCGUGGACCUGUGAGUACUUUUUAACAAAGGCUCAGCAGGCGGCUUAUAUUUCUGGUUAAAAUAAAGUAUAAGUGACUAAUGCAAAUGACUUACCAAAGAUGGCGGAGACCAUUUGAUACACACGGUUUUUUAAGCCGGUGAGCUCCAUGGUAACCUCCUCAAGAGUCGCCUCUGCUGUCUUGGCACGUUGUGUCAGCAAGGUCUUCUCAUCGGCCCAGGAUUUCUUCUUCUCAGUCACACUGGUCUUCAAUUUUUCAGUUUUAGAGAGACUCAAUUGGAGUUUGGAGUUAGCAGUCUUUAUCUCCGCUUCUUGAUCCGCCAGCCGGGUCUUUGCAUCCGUCAAUUGAGAUCCCAAUUCAGUUAGGGCGGUCUACAAACAUGCAUAGGUGUGUCAAAAUUUAAACACAAGUUAUAUUGAUUAAAGUCGCGAGUGCUUUGCAACGCAACACCACUUGGCACUUGGGGGCUAAUGUCUGCCAAAGCAAUUUUAUGCAAAAUGACUCUUCUAUGUUUCAAGUCCCAAGUGUUUUACAAAGUAACAACGCUUGGCACUUGGGGGCUAAUGCAUGAUAUUCAGAAAGUUUUUCAAGAUGAGCCGGAUCACACUACUUAUUUGGACUAAUCUAAGACAGUUAUGAAGUUAAGUACCGGGUCAUUUAUGAUAAAUUGAGCCGGCCCUUGGGGACUACAUGUGAAGUUUAUACUAAUCCGUUGAACUUAGGAAAAAUCUAAAGACAAGGUAUCAACCUAUAUCAUAAGUCUACAGAUCAUUCAGGUUCAUCAUAAUCUGAAGACUUGGGGGCUGGCAGAGUAUAUAUAAACCGGAGAACGUACCUCAUAUUCUGUAACAUCCCAAAUUUUCAAUUUGGAAUGUUACACGUUAGGUCAUCAUGCAUAUCAUAUUUUAUUUUUCUUUUGGUUUUGAUCCUAGAAAAUCCUAAGCAACUCAAGGACCCACGGAGAGAGUUGGGGAUUUCAUUAUUUACAUAUUUGAGUUUUCUCAAAUUAUGUAAACAGGAUCAUUUGAUUUUAUUUAUUCUAUCAUCAAUUAUUUCUAUUACAAAAAUAUGAGAGAGGGAAUAAAAUGACUUUUCCAAAAUAUAGAAAUAUUGAGGAUUUAAUAAAAAAUCAAAUAAGUUUUAUUUCGGAGUUUUUUGGUAUUUUUAUUUGAAUUUAGGAAAAAUGCGCGUUUUUCAAAUUGUAGUUUGGGCCCAGAUAAAUGUUCACUUUAUCGGGCUUGAUUUUAGGAACCCGGCAAAAUUUAUUUCGUGAUUUUUGGAGUCCGUUUAGUAUUUCUUUUUAUUUUUCUUCCGAGCGGAUUUAAAAAAAAACUAGAACCGACUCCGUGCCGUAACCGGCCAGGAAACCUCCGCCCGGGGCCUUUAUAUAGCGCCCGAACCGGCCGAGAGAGAGAGAGAGGCCCGAAGCCAGCUAACCCUAACCCUAGCUAAGCCGCCGCCGCCUCCCAGCCGUCGCCGCCCGCCGCUGCCGACUCGCCGGAGCGCGCGCCUUUCGAGGUUCGCCGCCGCCUCGUUUUCCGUGAAGUUUUUUUUUAAAAAAAAAAUCUGUUCGUCGUUUUUCUUUUUCGUCGGAUUUUCCGCGGUUAUUUUCUGAUCGCGAUUUCUGAUCCGGUUUUCGUUUUAGUAUAACUUUUCGCUCGUUUAUCGGAAUCAGGCGAUUCAAGCGCCUGGAGUUUCGUCUCGAAACCCUCUUUCCGAAUAAUCAACUUAAACAAGUUUUUGCUACUGUAAAAUUUGCCCUAGAUCCAGAUUACUAGAAGGAAGUUGUUUUUUUUGCCGUUUGAUUUCUUUCGCUUCGUUCGAUUUGAUUCUUUUGCCAACCAGGGUUCUUAAGUUGAACUUUCUGGUUAGAUCUUCUAUUUGAGUUUUACUUGUGCAUUAGAUGAGUACUUAUUGUAUGCUUGAUGUUUGUCUGUGAUAGAAUACCCGGAGUGCGCCGCCUGUUACUUCGAAUCUCUAGGUUUCGCGGAUCAUCAGCAAGGCAAGUAACACUUUGAUCAUACCUUUUCUACAACCCAGUUUUAUUGCAUUAGAUCAAUCCUCACACAUUGCAUGAUUAGGAUCUAAUUAAAUUGUGGGAUGGGAAGUAGAUGAGGUAGUACCUAUUACCUGUUUAUUAUCAAACCUUUGGGAGUUACUUCUACGUUUGCUUAUGCCAUGUUAUGCCGGUAGACGUGGAUUGGGUGAGUGAUAUCCAUGACAGAUGUGAGAUUUAUAAUUAAGGGUUAUCUAAGGUGGCAACCUAACACACAUCUGGGUGGAUUGAGGCACCUGGGGUUACCAGGACUUGCCUGUUUUCUUUUGGACCGCCACCCAGGCCCAAAGGGAUCAUGAGAUUUUUCAUACUAGAAACUUCCGUGUGCAGCCACAAGCCAUUAUGGGCUCUGGCAUAGUUGACUAAGUUGUGCGAACUCUUACAGUGGUAGACUAGCAGAUGUAGGGGAAAGUAGGUGUACCGGUCUACCCGUCGUAAGGUGCUAGCGCUUCUGAAAGACUGUGUCUCGGUCAUCCGUUUCUCAAACACCUUGUAGUGCGAGAAACCAAACGGAGGUGAUCGAGUCUUGUGGGGAAAAGUGCGCAAACCUCUGCAGAGUGUAACAAACUAAUCAUGGUUAGCCGUGUCCCUGAUUAUGGACAUCUUGAGUAUCUAUUACCUGGAUUAUCAUGUGAAUCUCAACAUGUUACUCUAAAAUUAAUUUUGUGGGAUUUUAAUGAUGUUACUUAAUUGGGAUUGAGGAUGCUGUCAACCAUUCUCAAUGUUUAACAACCACCAUGAUAGUAAUUAAUUUUAUUCCUUUGAAGUAGGGAAAAAUUGGCUUUACGCAAAAACUGUAACCAUAGAGCUUUCCACCAGCCAAAUAUGCAUAUAGUAUAGUUGUUGCAUUCCAUUACUCUCUAUGUGUUACCUUGCCAGCAUAUUCCAUGUGCUGACCCGUUUCGGGCUGCAACGUUAAUGUUGCAGACUUUUCAGAUGACGAUUGAGGAAUUUUAGGUCGUGGUUCUAUACUCAGUGAUGCCGUUGGAGUUGAUGGACUCACUUAUCUUCCAAGCCUUCCGCUGUUAUCGUUAUUAGAUGGCCUUAAGCCAUAUUUAUUGUAAUAAGUUCUCUUUUGAGACACUCGAUGUAAUAAGUGUGUGAUUGCUACUCUGCUAUAAAUCCUCCGAGUACUGUGUGGUGUCAGCAUUACUGAUCCAAGGAUGACAUCGGAGCACAGAGAUCAGACUGUUUAAGGUCUGGUCGCUACAUAUUCCAGUUGCAAUUGCUUGACCAUCUCAAUUUCCGAGUCACGGCUGGAAUGCACAGGACUGAGAUAGCCGGACAGCAUGUCACUAACAUUCAGAUGAGCAUAGUGAGAGAUAUCAAAUUGUACUUUCUGUCUUUCCAAGGCCUCCUGUUUAGCAGAAUGCCUGGCCAGCACAGUCGGAUUACCCGGCGCAACAAAUCUGCUGCCAGUGAUCAAAACGUCAUGGUCAGAAGAUGCUGGCAGGUUAGCUGAACCGGACGGUCUGACGGUGGAUGGAUCGACAAUGGUUUCGUCAGCUGACGGCUCAGGAGGGUCCAAUUGAGCAUGGACAGCUAAAUCUUCUGGCGCUUCAGAUUGAGUGGGAGGAGUUGAUGUUGCCAGUUCAGGUGCAGGAUUUUUUGGGUCCUCUGCCGGUUUAAUCACCUUGGCUUUCUUGGACUUUGCUUGACCGCUAAGAAAGAUUUUUAUGAAAUAGUUAGUAUAAUGAUGCAGUUUUAAAAAUGUAGAGGAAAGAUGAUUUUCCUUACCCAUGGGCAGUCUUGAAAGCCGGAAAUUGAGUUUGGGAUGAGUCGCCAGAAGAGCGAGAGACCUCCUGCAAAGGUAAAAUAAAGUUAAGAAUAUAAGGAAAUAAAUUCAUGGAUAAAAACAAAGGACAAAGGUGAAAGAAACCUCAUUCUGGCGUUUUUGAGGAGUUUUUUCUAAGUCGAAAGGUGGUUCAUCAUCAUCAUUAGUCCGGGCCAGAUGGCGGCUCUCAUGUUGCUGCUUUUUCAAAAGAAAAUGAGGGUCCAAAUAAGCCAAAGGGUGCAAAAACCUUACUUUCCGGGUUACCAGUCGAAGUUUCUGUCUCGGCAAAGGGGCUGAGUCGUAGGAAAUAGUUACCUCUUCUUCCGCGGCCUGGCUGGCCCCCGUGUCAUCCUGGCAAUAGUCAGUGUCAAUAAGAUAGUUGAAAAUUUGGCCAAGGGAGAAAGGGCUACCUCCGACUCAGAAACAUCAUCAAGCUGGAAGAUGUCAGAUGCAGUCUUCUUCUUGGGCUUCCGGGUCGUUCUCUUGGCGGCUACGGCAGCGGAUCUAGCCUUCUUGGUAGCUUCAUGAUCAUACUUGGCCUUCCAGAAGUCAGAUUUGUCCUGUAAACAAAUAAAGAGGUUAAAAGGUCAUGCAAGUAUUUAAACUACUGAGGUAAACACAAAAAGAGAAAAAGGUCAAGAAGUUACCUCUGGUGUCGGGUUAAGUUUGCAGAAGGGGUUUAAUCCAACCUUGCUGUAGUCCUCGUAUUUGCCAUUCACGAGGAUGGUAGACAUUGCAACAAUGUCUUCUUCAGUUAAUUGUACAGAGCUAUAACGCAGAGAAUCAUUUGGGCCUCCGCCAUACUUAUACAUCAACUUGGAUCGGCGGCUUAGAGGGAUGACCCGCCAUGAGAUCCAGCAAUGGAUCAGGUCAACUCCGGUUAAGCCAUUUCCCAAUAAAGCUUGAAUCCUUUUGACAGAUGGGAUAAGCUUCUUGCGUUCAGCAGUAGUAAGCUUGUCAGGGAGCACAAACUUGGAAUCAAGACGCUCUUCACGAUAACCCGGCAGUGGUUUUUCAUCAGCCGGUGAUGUAUCUUGGCAGUAGAACCAGGUUUGCUUCCAGUCUUUGGGAUGGCUCGGUAAGACCACUAAAGGAAAAACGGCACCUUGUCAGCGUUGAAUUGAAAUUCUGCCAAGUUCCAAGCUAAGGCCGUUGGUGCACUCAUUCUGGCGGUUCAAGUAAAAGUACUCUCUAAAGAGCUCCACAGUUGGUUCUUCUUGAAGAUAUACCUCACAAAGAACUUGAAAAUUGCAGAUGUUGGAUAUAGGGUUGGGUCCAAUAUCUUGUGGAUGAAGCUUGAAAAAAUGCAGGACAUCUUGGACGAACUUUGAGCCGGGUGGUGAGAAGCCCCGGUUCAUGUGAUCUGUGAAAACGAUAACUUCGCCGUCUUUGGACUAAGGUCGUUCUUCGUCCGGGUCAGGAGCACGAUAAGACAUAACGCUUUUCUCUGGCAAAAAUCCAAUGGUGACAAAUUAUUUCAAGGUAUCUUCAGUAACUGUGGAAGGCACCCGGUUGCAGACAGUUGGCGCUUUUGACGGCAUGAUGAAGAAAGGGCAAGCUGAAAAGAAAGUAAUUUGCCGGUUCAAUUUAUUGGUGGAGUUACAGGUUCAUGAUUAUAGUACAGAUGAGUAAUGGCGGCUUAAGUAAGGGCUAAUGACAUGUAAAGGAAAAAUAAGCCGGAGUCAUAAGCCGCCAUGACUAAAAAGUAUUUGAAGGUUGCCAGAAUCAAAAUUGACUAAAGUGUUGAGACAAACAGGUUUCCCAAGUUGUGGCUAUUAUUAUGGAUCAAAAUGGUUCAGAAAAUAAAAAUAAAGUUAGACCUAGAAAACGAGCACAGAGGAGUUUGUCAGCUCUAAAGAGGCAUUUAUACAGGAGAAGGGGAUCUGUUAGCUUCAAAAAUGGAUGAGAAAUAGCUACCUCAUAAGUUUUGUACUACUUUUAGAUCAAAAGAGGGUGCGGUAAGAGAAGUUGCAACGAAUCUAUGACGAACAACGAAGAACACAAGAAGGAAACCUCCCGAACCCUAAUGCAGAUCUAUGGGGGUGAGAAGGUGAGAGCUUACAGGUGCGGAGCUGCUGCGGAGGAUCGCCACCGUUCUCUGGAUAGACUCAGGGUGAUGCUGCGGCCAGAGUUGAGGACGACGGUGCGCUACGGUGGCGACGGAGCUCGAGCGGCAAAGAAGGUGCGAGAGGAAGAAGAAAGAGGAAGGACUGGCCGAGCCUAUUUAUAAGGGGGUAAGUGAACGGGCAGACGCAAAAAUUGAGGAAGACCAAAGUAAUGAUUAUCCAGCUAAAUGGACGCCUCGAUCUUCGGAAAACAUUUAAGAUAAGGAUCCGUUGAAGAUGAAAUCGUGGUGUUUUUCCAAAUUUUUUCAAUCCUAAUGGUUGGUUAAUAAAAUAAGCUCAGUGAAUAUACAAGGCGAUAGUUUAUUAUAAGACUUGUAGUAGGCCCAAGCCCAAAGGCGGUUUAAGGCCCAUAAUUGUAAACCGCCAUGUAUAAGAAAGACUUGUAAAGAAAGGCAUGUAAGAGAAGUCACCGAGCCGAACACGUUAUAUGAGCCGGCCGGGACUCUGUAGGCUGCCAGGCGUCAACCCAUGUAUAUAAGGGGAUGACCCGGUGGCUGCUUAGGACAAGUAACAUCAAAUCAAGAGCCAUGCAUAGCGUAUUUGCUCCCUGAUCAUCGAAACCUAGCAAUAUCACAUCAACUGGACUAGGCUUUACCUUCACCGUAAGGGGCCGAACCAGUAUAAACCUUUCGUGUCCUUUGUCCCGAUUAACCCCUUUAAGCUUCCUAGUUGCGAUGGCUCCACGGCUAAGUCCUUUCACUAGGACAUCAUCCGUGACAAUUCCACGACAACUCUGGUGCGGAUCUUACUAUGGUUGACCUACGAGGUUCAGCGGUAACUUGAUCUGAAGUUUCAUGAUCAUCAUCAUUAGCUUCCUCACUAAUUGGUGUAGGAAUCACUGGAACUAAUUUCUGUGAUGAACUACUUACCAAUUCGGGAGCAGGUACAAUUGCCUCAUCAAGUUCUACUUUCCUCCCACUCACUUCUUUCGAGAGAAAGUCCUUCUCUAGAAAGGAUCCUUUCUUAGCAACGAAUAUAUUGCCUUCGGAUCUGUGAUAGAAGGUGUACCCAACAGUCUCCUUUGGGUAUCCUAUGAAGACACAUUUCUAUGAUUUGGGUUCGAGCUUAUCAGGUUGAAGCUUUUUCACAUAAGCAUCACAGCCCCAAACUUUAAGAAACGACAACUUAGGUUUCUUGCCAAACCACAGUUCAUAUGGUAUCAUCUCAACGGAUUUAGAUGGUGCCCUAUUUAAAGUGAAUGCAGUCUGAAAGUGCGUUAUAUCGACUAGAGGGGGGGUGAAUAGGCGAUUUUUAUGAAAGUCUUCAAAACAUGGAAGUUUCGAAGACAAACGAUAGAAAUAAACCUAUUACCAUGCAGUGGAAGUUAGACUACACUAGAUAAACCGUAGUCAUGUAUUCAAUGAAGUGAAAGGACAAUGACUAAUAGUAGCUAGGUAGUAAGGAUCAGGCAGGAAGAUAUUAAGAAGCCAAACGGAUCACACAGUCACUCAGUGAAGACAAAAGAUAGAGAAAACAUACAAUGACUUCACACAGAGUAACAGUAAGUAAAGAGAAGGGAAGGAUGAAACCAGUGACUCGUUGAAGACAAAGAUUUGUUGGACCAGUUCCAGUUGCUGUGACAACUGUACGUCUGGUUAGGGCGGCUAGGUAUUUAAACCAAAGGACACACAGUCCCGGACACCCAGUCCUGAACACGCAGCUCAGGACAUCCAGUCCUCACCGUAUUCCCCUUGAGCUAAGGUCACACAGACCUCGCCCAAUCACUCUGGUAAGUCUUCAAGGUAGACUCCCAAACCUUCACAGACUUCGUUCACCGGCAAUCCACAAUGUCUCUUGGAUGCUCAGAACGCGAUGCCUAACCAGCUGGAGGAUGCACAGUCCUCAAGUGUAAUAAGUCUUCAGAUCACUCAGACAAGAAGACUUAAGUGAUGCCUAAUUCUCUUUCGCUCUGGGUGGUUAGGGCUUUAUCCUCGCAAGGAAUUCUCUCUCAAAGGCUUCGAGGUGGGUUGCUCUCAAACGACAAAAGCCGUACUUUGAAUCUGAGUAGCCAACCGUUUAUGGUUGUAGGGGGUGGGCUAUUUAUAGCCACUAGGCAACCCGACCUGAUUUGUCCGAAAUGACCCUGGGUCACUAAGGAACUAACAUGUGUUCCAACGGUCAAAUUUCAAACUCACACGGAAACUUUACUUGGGCUACAAGCAAAGCUGACUUGUCCGACUCUGGACAAGAUUUUCUCUCAUAGUCUUCACUCGAAGACAUAGGUUUUUGUUUAAGCAUCACUUUAGUCAUUCUGACUGGCUCUCUUGGACCCCACUUAACAGUAUGUUGGUUCCUAUGACUCAACACAGAAGAAAAAGAACUACGAAAAAUCUAAGUGUUCAAGCUCCAUAGGCUUCAUGCGGUGUCUUCUCUUGUCAUAGUCUUCAAUGUGAAUAUCUUCAUAUACCACCUUUGACAUCAAUGUCUUCAUACACUUUUAGGGGUCAUCUCUGGUGGGAAAACCGAAUCAAUGAGGUACUUCUACCUGUGUUAUCCUGCAAUUCUCACAAACACAUUAGUCCCUCAACUAGGUUUGUCGUCAAUACUCCAAAACCAACUAGGGGUGGCACUAGAUGCACUUACAAUCUCCCCCCUUUUGGUGAUUGAUGACAAACUAGUUGAAGUUUUCAACGGGGAAUAUAAUGUGUGAAAUUGUAAAGGAUAAGGAAUUGUCUUCAUAAGUUACAAGGGCUCCCCCUGAAGAUGUGCAUAUAAGUAAUUUGCUUUUGGAAUGCAAAUGCACAUGGCAGGUUGUGCUUGUGGAGAUCCACUUCAACUUAUGAUGACAAUCCACUAUGCAUGUGAAAGUAUGUGAAGAUAAUGACAUGCAUAAUGGAAAAUGGAUGUCUGCAGAAUGAUCUAAGUGCGGAAUCUAUCAUCGCACAUGCGGAAUUUAUCAUCACAACACAAGGUAGCAAAUAGGUAGCAGACGACCAUCAAGUUUAAGUGUUACAACUCAAAGAACCAAAUGUUUCAAAACGAGAGUUGUAAGCACGAAGCAAAAUAUAAAACACCCGCCCAUAUGGACCCAUUUGAAGACUAUCAAACUCAUAUGCUUCUCCCCCUUUUGACAGUAAGGACCAAAAAGGUUUGAAGACAUAGAGCCUCUACUCGUUCCCAUGAGGAGUAGGUGAAGCAGCAGGAUCGUUGAUGGUGUUUGGCAGUGCAGACGAGCUUGGAGCAGUGUCGACGUGUGCUGAAGGAGGCGGCGAAGAAGUAGCAUCGUCUUCAUCCUCGAUCACUCUGGCAUUCACGGUUGCAGUAGAGGAAGAGAACUCAGGGUCUUCAAGUGAUGGAGUUCGUCGCAGCACAGCCCUGCGAGGAGGUGUGGAGUCAAACUUGAAGCGCUCAGUGAAGCCAUCCUCUUGCAGAUCAUCUUCAGAACACAGCAGCGUCAGCCCUUUCCAUGUGCGUCGAGAUGUUUCAUGAGCAACAAAGGCGUUCUUGGUGGCAAGAUUGUGAAUGCGAUUAACAUCCACCAAGAGGCUUUGCAUUUGACGCUUUAGCCAGUCAUGAUGCCUAUCCUGUUUCUGAUGAAGGGCCACCAGAAGCUCUCGGUCAUUGAGGACACGAGUGCGCUUCUUGGGUCGUUGAGCAAUGGUGCUAUCAGUGGCUUCAGUAAGAGCAGGAUGCGGGGCACGGGUAGUGCCAGCCAAAGGAUACACACGUGUUACUGCUUCAAUGCCUUCAACGUUCCGAGAGAAACUUUGAUGCUCUGCAUUCUGAAGACUUAGAGGUUCCUUGGCAGGCUCAGGAUAUAUGGCUUCAAUAGACAUAUCCACAUCAGGCAAAAAGAUCCGAUGAUUGCGGGCAGAUGGCUGAUAUGAGAUAGCAGAGUGAAGUUUGAUCAGCCGCAUCACCCAAGGGGCGUAGAACUUCAACCCAAAUAGAUCAGAGCCAGAUGCAGCAAGUUGGCGAAUGAAGAAAUCCUAUGUAUUGAAGCAUUUUCCAUGAAGAAUAUAGAAGACCAAAGUCUUCAUUGCACCUUCCAGCUGGGCAUGGGGAGAAUGUCCUUUGAUUGGCCAGAGAGUUCGCCUUAUGAUAUGAUAAAUGGUCCUUGGCAGAUACUCAAGGUCUUCAACAAAGAACUCCGUGGGAUAAGCAGCAUCUUGGGGCAAUGGCUUCAUCAUACUGAGCAUCUGACUCAUAUUGGGUUCAGUCUUCUGAAAGAUGCUCUCAACAGCUUCAAUGUGAAGCUGACAGCCAUGCUCAUAGAGAUCGCCAGGAGUGGGCAAGCCAGUGAGCUCAAUGAUGUCAAAGACUUUGGCUUCGUGAUGAACAUUUCCAGUCAUCCACUCUAGGACCCAAGUCUUUGGAUCUCUGUUAUACCCGCGGAUGUGAAGUGUGGCAUAGAACUGGAGCAGCAACUCUUCAUUCCAAUGCUCUUGGUCAGUGACGAAUGGUAGCAGCCCAACUUCAUUGAAGCAAUCCAAAGCUUCUUCCAGACAGGCAGACCAGCUAUAGCUUCAAUGUCAAGGCGCUUGUGUGGGAAGAUGCGACCUUUGUUGUAAAGAAUGCAUGAGUAAUAGCUUCGCUGCUGAUAGCUCCAGAACCGAUCAGAUGAUAUUCUUUCCCUGGAGUAGGGGUUCCUGGAGCUAUUGAAGAAUGUGUUGUCUGCUCUGAAGCCAUUGAUGUUAAAGGAGCCAGGUGCUAAUGCAGGACCUGGGAACCUGGGCAAUCUUGGGAUUGGCUUCUGGACCUGAGGCCUGUGCUCAACAUGAUAGUCGAAUUGGGGACCGGCAGCAGACGCAGGAACAGGAGCAGCAGGAUUAGUGGCUUCGCUGACUUCUGGUGCUGUUGGGGGUGAGGGCUCCACAUUAGCUUCAGCCAUGACGGUGUCAGUGGCUUCAGUGGUGUUGGUGGUGGCAGCCUCUAGAUUUUCAACCUCCACUUGACGAGCUGGAGGGUCGGUCAUGAUCACGUUCUCCUCGAGAACCGCUUCUUGGUGGGGCAGGGGAGUAGCAGCUUGUGGAACUUCUUCUUCCGUGGCUGAUGCAGCUAGAUUGUCUUCAGCAGAGACUUGAGGCCUUGGACCUUUGUGAAGCCUGCGCAACGCGGGCGAUGCCUGUGGAGCUGGAGUGGGCUGGGCCUCAUAGUCUUCUUCCUCUUGUUGGCGAUCCGCCCAUGAAGCAUCCUGUGCCAUUGGCGUCAGUGGACGACCAAUGCUGAUGAGUUCGUUGUUUUCAAGCUGAGGAAGAACUGCACCAUCUUCUACAUGGUCAUGUUGACCAAUGUCUUCAGCAGUGAUGGGAUCAGCUGUUGGAAAGUCUUUAGCUUUAUGAGCCUCUGUGGAAGCAGGCUCAUGGAUUGUCAGUUGGCGUUCAGCUUCAGGAUAGACCAUUGAAAUAGGUUCAACUAUCAAAGGCUCUGUGGGAGCAGCCUGUUCCUUCUUGGUCUUUCGUUUCUUCUUGGAGGGGGCAGUAGGAGAGGCUUCAGGAUGUUUCCUCUUCCUGGCUUCAGCCUCAGCAGUCCUUGUCUUCUUGAGCUCUGAAGCGGUUGACCGGCUUUUUGGCUUCAAGCCAGUCAGUCUAGUUGGGAAGACAAUCGGAACUGCUUCCUGCCUUGGUGCGUCGGAUUCAGCCGUAGCAGUCUUCUUCUUCUUCUUUGCGGCCAUCCUAGGGUCAAUGCCAGGACGCCCAAGGGCCUUGCGCUUCUCAGCCUCAUUGUAGGCUUGCACACAUCUGUCAGCCAGAGCCUUCAUGCGCUCACGUGAAUCCCGAGCUUCUGCACAUUUCUUCAGAAAGGCUUCCUUGAGCUCGUGCAUCAUGAUCUUGAAGUUCUUCACUUCUUGCACACUGAGCUUGGCCAUAUGCUUCUUGAACUGAGCCUUUUCAUAGUCAAUCUUCUGCUUUAGUUCAACAACGUGUCGGGCGAUGGCUAGCUCUGAAGCAAUGGCGCCUUGGAAGGCGACACUGAGGCCAAUGGGUAGCUGCAGAUCAUCAAAGCUGAUGUUUGGCAUAUCAAACCACUCGUCAAUGAAGUUGUGGAUGAUGGUUACAUCAAAGAGAGGCAGAUCAUUGAAGAUUUCGGCUUCUUCUUUGCUCUUGAUGAGUUGCUCAAGAGCGUCAUCUGCAAGAUCUUCAUCACUUGACAGAUCAAUGUCAUCAUUGCGCAGAAUGGCAGCAGCUGUUAGCUCUUGGCCGGUGUGUGGCAGAGGCAUCUUGGCCUUCUAGGGCUUGGAGAUGCGUGAUAAAUCUUCGGACUGCACACUGUCUUCAGGAGAUGCAGUUGCCAGUGGCUUCGCCCUUGAGAUUUUUGGUGAAGGGGCAGGCUUUGAAGCUUUGGGCUUCUUCAACUUCUUUGGUGUUGGCGCUGCAGGCGCUUCAUCUGAUUCAGCGUUAGCUGCAGGCUCAUUCACGGUUGUCCCUUGAACCAAGAUAUGGGUGAUGAGUCCUGCAAGGUUGUAGAAAGGACCGACGACAUUGGGUUCCGCAUCGCGUGUGCCGUCAGCCCUUGGAGCAGAAGGACCAGGGUUGAAGUCUAAUCCAAAAGACUUCUUGUUCUGCUUUGCUGAGUUCUUGGCAAACUGGAAGUUGCGCUUGAAUAGAUUGUCGUCACGGCACCAUAGUAGUGACGAUGGGUGUGCAUCUGCAGGCUGUGGCCCACGCACCAUGCAGGGAUAGAAGCCUUGUUCAAUGGCUUCUUCUCUGGACCUGGGUUGAAGAUUCUUGUAUAGGAUGUCUCCCCAUGGUCUCUUGAUGGCAUUUCUCUCAGCAUAUUCCUGGGUCACAAACCGGUAUUUGAACCAUUGUUCUGCCCAAUAUCUUCGAAUCCAUUGGAUUCGGGUCUUGCGCUGAUUAUAAUCCUGUUCAGGAUCUGUCUUGUAAAGCUCUGAGAGGUCAUCAGGAAAAUCUCUUGAUGUCCCCCCACGACGCUGUCUGCCACCCUUCCUUACUGAUUUCUCUGCAGCCAUGAACUUCAAACUGAAAGGCUUCAAAACGUUCAAAGGCUUCAAAGGUUUUCGCUUGCUGGACAAACAGGAACUGGCUUCGGGAGAAUUUAUAUGAUGCUGUAAGAAUUCUGCAAAUGAAUGCAGACUAUGAGAACCAAGGGAUUCUCCCAUGGACAUGUACCUGUGACAACAUUAAGGUGCAAGGGAAGGGGAAGAGGUCAUAUGCAUUCUCAGGAGAUUUUGAAGAUAAAUCAGUUUAGAAGACAUUGACCUCAUCGUGCGAAGACAUUCACUCAUAGAUAAGGAGUUGGUUCCAGAUUUGUACGAAUCCAGUGAUCAGUACAAGUGAGGAAUCUAACUACUUGUGAAGCAUAAGUGAAUAUACUAGGCAUGUUAUGAGAUGCAGUAGGAAAGAGAUCCAACUUGUGUGAAUAGAAACUUCUUAUGGUAGAAAGUGACAAAGCCAUAGGAUCAAAAGGGGCCGUAAAAAGAAGUUUUAUUUACCACACUUGGAACUGCUAGAUGGAGUGGAAGAGGAGGCCGAGCAGUUCGAUCUUCUGUGCCCUAACUUGGCGACGAAGGACACCUACGGCGACGGCGGAGAGGACGAUGUCCGCGGUCGGUGUGAAGACGGCGUCGGAGAGGUUGCGGCAGUGAAGCGCUUCGUCGCCGGCGUCGUCGAGGGCUAGCAGUGGCACUAGGGUUCGUGCGAGGGUGGAAGAAGAGAUGAUGACCGCUGUGAAGGGUGUAUUUAUAGGUACAGGGGCGGCACUGCGUUAUUACACAGGUGCCCCUGGCGAUUCACAUCUGAGGAACACGUGGCCAUCAUGCAGUAUAUUGGGGUUUGUUCCACGUCUCACGCACGCCUAGAUUGUCGGGUGGUCGUUCCUACUUCUCCGGGUUUCAUGUGGAGGAAUGGGCAUUGAAAACGGACUUAAUGUUUGUCUCUGUAUGUUCUGCUGACAAGGACGCAGAGAAGACAUUCGACAGUUUCAAUAGAAUGCAUAUGAUUUGGAGAGAUAGAGUUUGAGAUAGAGAGCACAGAGAGGUUAGGGUCCGAUCACAUUCACUUAGAUCAAAAGAUUCAACAAGAAGACAUAGCUAUAAGUGAAUACUGUAGAGGACAGAACACUAGUAUAUAUAUAUAUAUAUAAUCAACAUAGUGAAGAUAAUCAUGAAAACAUGUUGAGAUUGAAACCAAACCAAAUGUGAAGUCAUAGCAAGGUAAUGCCAUGAGUGAAACACUUCAAAUAGAACAUUUGGUGGUGGCGUUACCCACCGUAUAGGAAGUAUUAGACCCAGACACGGCGCACAAUUAUCGUGGCGCUCCGAAGUCAAAUUCCACAUUAAUGUAUUCACACUUAGAAUGUAUGUCUUCAUUGAUUGAAGAUAUACUUUACUUCGUGUGUUGCACAUCUAAGUCAUCAAUAUGCAUAAGGGUUAGGAUGUGUGCCUGAUCACAGGACAUUUGAGGAUUCCAGGAUAUUUAGCUCACAUCGUAACUUGCAAAAUCUCUUCUCAUCCAAGGGCUUGGUGAAGAUAUCUGCCAAUUGCUCUUCAGUGUUGACGUGUAUGAUAUCAAUAUCUUCCUUCACAACAUGAUCUCUGAGAAAGUGAUGACGAAUUUCAAUGUGCUUUGUCUUCGAGUGCUGAACAGGGUUGUUGGCAAUCUUGAUGGCGCUUUCGUUGUCACAGUAGAGUGGCACUUGCUUCAGAUGAAUGCCAUAGUCCUUGAGGGUUUGCUUCAUCCACAGAAGCUGAGCGCAGCAAGAUCCAGCAGCAAUGUAUUCAGAUUCAGCAGUGGAGAGAGAUACACAGUUCUGCUUCUUUGAAGACCAACAUACAGGUGAUCGUCCCAGAAAAUGACAUGUGCCUGAUGUAGACUUGCGAUCCACCUUGUCACCAGCAUAAUCAGCAUCCGAGAAUCCAACCAGAUCAAACUCUGAGCCCUUUGGAUACCAUAAUCCUAGAGUUGGGGUGUGAGCCAAAUAUCGAAGAAUUCGCUUCACAGCUAGGUGAUGCGACUCCUUUGGUGCCGCUUGAAAUCGAGCACACAUGCAAACACUAAGCAUAAUAUCUGGCCUAGAUGCACAUAGAUAAAGCAAAGAACCAAUCAUGGAGCGGUAUACCUUUUGAUCGAACUCUUUACCAUUGUCGUCAGGACCCAGAUGAUGCUUGGCUGGUAUUGGCGUCGUGAACCCUUUGCAGUCUUGCAUACCGAACUUCUUAAGGCAAUCCUUGAGAUGCUUCUCUUGAGAUAUGAAGAUGCCGUUGCGUUGCUGUCGUAUUUGAAUACCGAGGAAAAACUUCAGCUCUCCAUCAUGGACAUCUGAUAUUGCUCUUGCAUCAUAUAUCCAAACUCUUCACUGUACUUCUGAUUGGUGCAGCCGAAGAUAAUGUCAUCCACAUAUAUUUGGCACACAAACAGUUAACCAUCAUAUGUCUUCGUGAAGAGAGUGGGGUCGAGGGAACCAGGUAUGAAGCCUUUGCUCUUCAGGAAGUAUUUGAGUGUGUCAUACCAGGCCCGAGGGGCUUGUUUGAGGCCAUAUAGUGCCUUGUUGAGCUUGUAUACCGUAUCAGGAUGUUUUAGAUCUUCAGAGCCAGGUGGUUGUGCAACAUACACUUCUUCUUCAAUCUUUCCAUUGAGAAAGGCGCUCUUCACAUCCAUUUGAUAAAGAAGUAUGUUGUGAUGAUUUGCAUAGGCCAGCAGUAUGCGUAUGGCUUCAAGUCUAGCCACAGGAGCAAAUGUUUCAUUGAAGUCAAUGCCUUCCACUUGAGUAUAUCCUUGAGCAACUAGACGAGCUUUGUUUCUGACAACUUGACCAUGCUCAUCUUGCUUGUUGCGGUAUAUCCAUUUUGUGCCUAUUAUGUUGUGCUUCCGAGGAUCAGGACGCUUAACCAGUUCCCAUACAUUAUUCAGCUCAAACCGUUGAAGCUCUUCUUGCAUAGCUUGAAUCCAUUCAGGUUCCAUGAAGGCUUCUUCCACUUUCUUGGGUUCUGUUAUUGAGACGAAUGCGAAGUGCCCACAGAAAUUUGCCAGCUGGGUUGCCCUUGAUCGACUGAGCGGACCAGGUGCAUUGAUGCUGUCAAUUAUUCUCUCAAUUUGCACUUCAUUGGCAACACGAGGAUGUACAGGGCGAAGACUUUGCUCUUGCUGAUCAUUGUCGUUGUUGGAGGGAUUGUCUUCAGGUUGAGCAUUGUCUUCAGGUUGAUCUGGUGCAGAGAUGAUGAGUUCCUCUUCAGGAUGAGCUUUAGAAGGUAUGAUUUCUCCAGUUCCCAUUAGCUUGAUUGAUUCACUGGAUGGAACUUCAUCUAGCACAUUUGGCAGGUGCUCUCUUUGUGAACCGUUAGUCUCAUCGAACCGCACAUCCACGGUUUCAACCACUUUAUAAUGAAAGAGGUUGAAGACUCUGUAGGAGUGCGAAUCCUUUCCAUAUCCAAGCAUAAAACCCUCAUGUGCUUUUGGGGCAAACUUUGAAGUGUGAUGUGGGUCCUUGAUCCAGCACCUUGCGCCAAAUACUCUGAAGUAACUGGCAUUUGGCUUCUUGCCAGUGAGGAGCUCAUACGAUGUCUUGUUCAGAAGCUUGUGAAGAUAAACACGAUUGAUUGUAUGGCAUGCAGUAUCAAUGGCUUCAGGCCAGAAUUUUCUUGGAGUCUUGUAUUCAUCUAGCAUUGUUCUGGCCAUCUCAAUGAGUGUUCUGUUCUUGCAUUCGACGACGCCAUUCUGCUGUGGCGUGUACGGGGCUGAGAAUUCAUGUGUGAUGCCCAAGGUAUCAAGAUAUGUAUCAAGGCCAGUGUUCUUGAAUUCAGUGCCAUUGUCACUUUUGAUGUGCUUUAUCUUGGCACCAUAGUUGUUCAUUGCUCGAUUGGCGAAGCGUUUGAAGACAUCCUGCACUUCAGUCUUGUAAAGGAUUAUAUGCACCCAAGUGUAUCUAGAAUAAUCAUCAAUAAUGAAGAAGCCAUAGAGACAAGCAGUAGUAGUAAGAGUUGAGUAAUGAGUGGGACCGAAAAGAUCCAUGUGAAGCAGCUCGAAGGGUCGAGUAGUAGUCAUGAUUGUCUUCGAGGGAUGCUUGGCCCUCGUCAUCUUUCCUGCUUCACAGGCACCGCAUAAGUGAUCUUUCUUGAACUUGACGCCCUCAAUGCCUAUGACAUGCUUCUUCUUUGCCAGGGUGUGGAGGUUCCUCAUGCCAGCAUGCCCAAGCCUCCGAUGCCAGAGCCAGCAUUCUGAAGCUUUUGCUAGAAGACAUACGGCAAGUUGUGGUCCUGCUGAGAAAUCUACCACGUACAGAUCGUCUUUCCGAUACCCUUCAAACACUAGAGACUUGUCAGAUUCCAUUAGAACAAGGCAACAAUAUUUUCCAAAUAUUACGAUCAUGUUCAAAUCGCAUAGCAUUGAGACAGACAUUAAGUUGAAGCCAAGGGAUUCAACAAGCAUGACUUUAUCCAUGUGUUGAUCCUUUGAGAUUGCAACUCUACCUAGACCCAAUACCUUACUUUUACCAGUGUCAGCAAAUGUGAUGUGGCUCUUGUCGGAAGGACGUAAGGUUGAGUCCAUCAGAAGGCUUCUUUUGCCAGUCAUGUGAUUUGUACACCCACUAUCAGUAAUCCAUUCUGUAUACGCUGGUGUCGUACCCUACAGUGCAGUUAGGGGGAUAGGCUUCACGAAGAGAGUUGUGAAGCAAAAACAUUUGACGAACCAGUGGGUUAUGAAAGCUUAGAUCCAGAUUAGUACUGAUAGGGAGAGUAGCAAGCGAUUCAGGAACGAAGUACAUAGUAAGACCAUUCGGCAUUUGAUCUUGCGCCCUACAAGAUGUUUAAGGUCCCCAGCGAUAGCGUCAGAAGAUUUUGGUUUUCUGCUGGAGACCUUUCCCUGCAAAAGAGAGUUAAGCCUUCUUAACAACCCACAUCUUCAAGGGUGGCUUAGAAGCGAUAAGUCUAAGUGCAGAGUCUGAAAACUUUGGCUUUGGGGCUCUAGCAAAAAGUCUUGCAGGUGGACAAUAAUACUCAUAAGAAUAAGCAGAAUAGUUUUUGGUCUUAUGAACAUGGCGGUUCGAUGAACCGCGCUCAUAUUCAUAGGCCUGAGUAUGGUUUCCCUGCAAAACAUUUGCAUUAGUCCGACUCAGGUGAGUCCUCUGUCUGUAUGAAGCCUUUGGGCCAUAUGAAGCCUGUGGUCUGGGGUUUGUCUUCUUCAUCUAUGGUGUCAUGAUGACAUUCACAGGAAGAUUUUCCAAACACCUUUUGGGCACCCAGACCUUCUUCAUAGGCGGUCCAUUCCUGCAGUUAGUACCAAUGUACCUGGCAAAAACUUCACCAUUCUGAUUCUUAAAUAGUUUAUAGUUUGCAUCAAAGGAUUCAUCAAUGACAAUGGGGUUAGCACAAGUGAAGCCAGAUAGACUGGAUGGAUUUGCUGAAGGUUCCUUUGCAGCAACCCAUGUGGUUUUGGGAUACUGCUCGGGUUUCUAGUAAGAGCCAUCAGCAUUCAUUUUCCUUAUGAACCCAACACCCUCUUUCCUCGGGUUUCGGUUCAGAAUCUGCCUUUUGAGGACAUCACAUAGUGUCUGAUGCCCUUUAAGACUUUUGUACAUCCCUGUUUCAAGCAAUGUCUUCAACCUAGCAUUCUCAUCAGCAAUCGCAGUAGUAUCCUCAGUAGAGGGGUUAGUUACCACAUCAACAGUUGAAGAUAUUGCAACAGUAGCAGUAGUAGAACAUUCAGCAACAGAAGCAGCAUUAUCACGCUCAAUGCAUUUAAGACAUGGUGGUUCAAAUCCUUCCUGAGCGGAACUGAUCUGUUCGGCGCGAAGUGACUCGUUUUCCUUUUGAAGAUCUUCAUGAGCCGCUCUCAAUUUCUCAAGAUCUUGCUUCCUUUGAAGAUAAUCAUAGGAAAGCUUUUCAUGAGUUGUUGAGAGCGUUUCAUGACAACUUUCAAGUUCCUCAUAUUUAACGUGAAGAUUUUUUAUGUCUUGAAUUAAGGAUUCAGAUCGAGUCAUUUCAACGCCCAACAAAUCAUCGCUUUUGUCUAACAGUUUUUGAAUAUGUUCCAUGGCUUUCUGUUGUUCAGUUGCAAUUUUAGCAAGUGUUUUGUAGCUGGGUCUUGAAUCACAAUCAGAGUCAUCAUCACUAGAUGUUUGAUAGUGAGUAGUGCGUGUGUUUACCUUGGCACCGUGUGCCAUGAAGCAGUAGGUAGGAGCAGAGUCGUCCUUGUCAUUUGCAUCGGCGUCGGUGGUGAAGUCAUUGUCUUCAGUGUUGAAGAUGGACUUGGCAACGUAUGCUGUAGCCAGACUUGCAACACCAGAAUCGGACUCCUCCUCAGACUCCACCUCCGCCUCCUCAGACGCGGACUCCUCCUCUGAAUCCAUUUCCUUGCCAACAAACGCACGUGCCUUGCCAGAUGAGCUCUUCUUGUGUGAUGAAGACUUUGAGGAAGACUUGGAAGAAGACUUUGAGUAUUUCUUCUUCUUCUUGUCGUCAGAGUCAUAUUCCUUGCUCUUCUUCUUCUUUCUAUUCUCAUUGUCCCACUGCGGACACUCAGAGAUGAAGUGGCUAGUUUUCUUGCACUUGUGACAUGUUUUCUUCUUGUAGUCAUGAGCAGAAGCUUCAUCAUUCCUUGAGCUUGAUCGUGAAGACUUUCUGAAGCCUUUCUUCUUGGGGAAUCUUUGGAACUUCUUUACAAGCAUAGCAAGUUCCUUUCCAAUGUCUUCAGGAUCGUCAGAACUGCUGUCAGAUUCUUCUUCAGAUGAGGAGACAACUUUUGCCUUCAGGGCACGAGUUCGCCCAUAGUUUGGACCGUAGAUAUCUCUUUUCUCAGAAAGCUGAAACUCAUGUGUGUUGAGCCUCUCAAGUAUGUCGGACGGAUCGAGUAUCUUGAAAUCAGGUCGUUCUUGAAUCAUCAGGGCUAGGGUGUCAAACAAACUGUCAAGUGAUCUCAGUAGUGUCUUGACGACUUCAUGCUUGGUGAUCUCAGUGGCGCCGAGCGCUUGAAGCUCAUUUGUGAUGUCAGUGAGUCGGUCAAAUGUGAGCUGGACAUUCUCAUUGUCAUUUCGCUUGAAGCGGUUAAAGAGGUUGCGAAGAACGCUGAUUCUCUGAUCUCUCUGGGUUGAGACGCCUUCGUUGACCUUGGAGAGCUAGUCCCAGACCAGCUUCGAUGUUUCCAAAGUGCUCACACGGCCAUACUGUCCUUUGGUCAGAUGACCACAGAUAAUGUUCUUGGCAGUAGAGUCCAGUUGAACGAACUUCUUGACAUCAGCAACAGUGACACCUUCUCCAGCCUUGGGAACGCCGUUCUUGACGACAUACCAUAGGUCGACGUCAAUGGCUUCAAGAUGCAUGCGCAUCUUAUUCUUCCAGUAGGGAUAUUCAGUUCCAUCGAAGACGGGGCACGCAACGGAGACUUUAAUUAUCCCUGCAGUCGACAUAGCUAAAACUCCAGGUGGUUAAACCGAAUCACACAGAACAAGGGAGCACCUUGCUCUCAUACCAAUUGAAAGUGCAUUAUAUCGACUAGAGGGGGUGACUAGGCGAUUUUUAUGAAAGUCUUAAAAACAUGGAAGUUUCGAAGACAAAUGAUAGAAAUAAACCUAUUACCAUGCAGCGGAAGUUAGACUACACUAGAUAAACCAUAGUCAUGUAUUCAAUGAAGUGAAAGGACAAUGACUAAUAGUAGCUAGGUAGUAAGGAUCAGGCAGGAAGAUAUUAAGAAGCCAAACGGAUCACACAGUCACUCAGUGAAGACAAAAGAUAGAGCAAACAUACAAUGACUUCACACAGAGUAACAGUAAGUAAAGAGAAGGGAAGGAUGAAACCAGUGACUCGUUGAAGACAAAUAUUUGUUGGACCAGUUCCAGUUGCUGUGACAACUGUACGUCUGGUUAGGGCGGCUAGGUAUUUAAACCAAAGGACACAUAGUCCCGGACACCCAGUCCUGAACACGCAGCUCAGGACACCCAGUCCUCACAGUAUUCCCCUUGAGCUAAGGUCACACAGACCUCGCCCAAUCACUCUGGUAAGUCUUCAAGGUAGACUCCCAAACCUUCACAGACUUCGUUCACCGGCAAUCCACAAUGUCUCUUGGAUGCUAUAACGCGACGCCUAACUGGCUGGAGGAUGCACAGUCCUCAAGUGUAAUAAGUCUUCAUAUCACUCAGACAAGAAGACUUAAGUGAUGCCUAAUUCUCUUUGGCUCUGGGUGGUUAGGGCUUUAUCCUCGCAAGGAAUUCUCUCUCAAAGGCUUCGAGGUGGGUUGCUCUCAAACGACAAAAGCCGUACUCUGAAUCCGAGCAGCCAACCGUUUAUGGUUGUAGGGGGUGGGCUAUUUAUAGCCACUAGGCAACCCGACAUGAUUUGUCCGAAAUGACCCUGGGUCACUAAGGAACUGACACGUGUUCCAACGGUCAGAUUUCAAACUCACACGGCAACUUUACUUGGGCUACAAGCAAAGCUGACUUGUCCGACUCUGGACAAGAUUUGCUCUCAUAGUCUUCACUCGAAGACAUAGGUUUUUGUUUAAGCAUCACUUCAGUCAUUCUGACUGGUUCUCUUGGACCCCACUUAACAGUGCGGUGGUUCCUAUGACUCAACACAGAAGAAAAAGAACUACGAAAGAUCUAAGUCUUCGAGCUCCAUAGGCUUCAUGCAGUGUCUUCUCUUGUCAUAGUCUUCAAUGUGAAUAUCUUCAUAUACCACCUUUGACAUCAAUGUCUUCAUACAUUUUUAGGGGUCAUCUCUGGUGGGAAAACCAAAUCAAUGAGGUACUUCUACCUGUGUUAUCCUGCAAUUCUCAUAAACACAUUAGUCCCUCAACUAGGUUUGUCGUCAAUACUCCAAAACCAACUAGGGGUGGCACUAGAUGCACUUACACAGUCGUCUCUAAAGCAUAACCCCAAAAUGAUAGCAGUAAAUUAGUAAGAGACAUCAUAGAUCGCACCAUAUCUAAUAAAGUGCGGUUACGAUGUUCGGACACACCAUUAUGUUGUGGUGUUCCGUGUGGCGUGAGUUGCGAAACUGUUCUGCAUUGUUUCAAAUGAAGACCAAACACGUAACUCAAAUAUUCACCUCCACGAUCAGAUUGUAGAAACUUUAUUUUCUUGUUACGAUAUUUUUCCUCUUCACUCUGAAUUUUUUUGAACUUUUCAAAUGUUUCAGACUUAUGUUUCAUCAAGUAGAUAUACCCAUAUCUGCUCAAAUCAUCUGUGAAGGUCAGAAAAUAACAAUACCCGCCGCGAGCCUCAACACUCAUCGGACCGCAUACAUCCGUAUGUAUUAUUUCCAACAAGUCUAUUGCUCACUCCAUUGUUCCGGAGAAUGGAGUCUUAGUCAUCUUGCCCAUGAGGCAUGGUUCGCAAGCAUCAAGUGAUUCAUAAUCAAGUGAUUCCAAAAGUCCAUCAGCAUGGAGUUUCUUCAUGCGCUUUACACCAAUAUGACCUAAACGGCAGUGCCACAAAUAAGUUGCACUAUCAUUAUUAACCUUGCAUCUUUUGGCUUCAAUAUUAUGAAUAUGUGUGUCACUAUUGUCGAGAUUCAAUAAAAAUAGAUCACUCAUCAAGGGUGCAUGACCAUAAAAGAUAUUACUCAUAUAAAUAGAACAACCAUUAUUCUCUGAUUUAAAUGAAUAUCCGUCUCGCAUCAAACAAGAUCCAGAUAUAAUGUUCAUGCUUAACGUUGGCACCAAAUAACAAUUAUUCAGGUCUAAAACUAAUCCCGAUGGUAGAUGUAGAGGUAGCAUGCUGACGGCGAUCACAUCGACUUUGGAACCAUUUCCCACGCGCAUCGUCACCUCGUCCUUAGCCAAUCUUCGCUUAAUCCGUAGCCCAUGUUUCGAGUUGCAAAUAUGAGCAACAGAACCAGUAUCAAAUACCUAGGCGCUACUACGAGCAUUAGUAAGGUACACAUUAAUAACAUGUAUAUCAAAUAUACCUUUCACUUUGCCAUCCUUCUUAUCCAUCAAAUACUUGGGGUAGUUCCGCUUCCAAUGACCAGUCCCUUUGUAGUAGAAGCAUUCAGUCUCCGGCUUAGGUCCAGACUUGGGCUUCUUCACUUGAGCAACAACUUGCUUGUCAUUCUUCUUGAAGUUCCCCUUCUUCCCUUUGCCCUUUUUCUUGAUACUGGUGGUCUUGUUGACCAUCAACACUUGAUGCUCCUUCUUGAUUUCUACCUCUACAGCCUUUAGCAUUGCGAAGAGCUCGGGAAUUGUCUUAUCCAUCCCUUGCAUAUUAUAGUUCAUCAUGAAGCUUUUGUAGCUUGGUGGCAGUGAUUGAAGAACUCUGUCAAUGACACUAUCAUCAGGAAGAUUAACUCCUAGUUGAGUCAAGUGGUUGUGGUACCUGGACAUUUUGAGUAUAUGUUCACUAACAAAACUAUUCUCCUCCAUCUUACAGCUGUAGAACUUAUUGGAGACUUCAUAUCUCUCAAUCCGGGCAUUUGCUUGAAAAUUUUACUUCGACUCCUGGAACAUCUCAUAUGCUCCAUGAUGUUCAAAACGUUGUUGAAGUCCCGAUUCUAAGCCGUAAAGCAUGGCACACUAAACUAUCGAGUAGUCAUCGGCUUUGCUCUACCAGACGUUCAUAAUGUCCGGUGUUGCUUGAUACGUCUCCGUCGUAUCUACUUUUCCAAACACUUUUGUCCUUGUUUUGGACUCUAACUUGCAUGAUUUGAAUGGAACUAACCCGGACUGACGCUGUUUUCAGCAGAAUUACCAUGGUGUUAUUUAUGUGUAGAAAUAAAAGUUCUCGGAAUGACCUGAAACUUCAGGGAACGUCUUUUUGGAAAUAAUAAAAAAUCCUUGCAAAAGAUGAAGACCAGGGGGCCCACACCCUAGCCACGAGGGUGGGGGCGCGCCUGCCCCCCUAGGCGCGACCCCUACCUUGUGGGCCCCCUGGAGCUCCUCCGACCUCAACUCCAACUCUAUAUAUUUGCUUUCAGGGAGAAAAAAAUUAGAGAGAAGGAUUCAUCGCGUUUUACAAUACAGAGCCGCCGCCAAGCCCUAAAACCUCUCAGGAGGGCUGAUCUGGAGUCCGUUCGGGGCUCCGGAGAGGGGAAUCCGUCGCCAUCGUCAUCAUCAACCUUCCUCCAUCACCAAUUUCAUGAUGCUCACCGCCGUGCGUGAGUAAUUCCAUCAUAGGCUUGCUGGACGGUGAUGGGUUGGAUGAUAUUUAUCAUGUAAUCGAGUUAGUUUUGUUAGGGUUUGAUCCCUAGUAUCCACUAUGUUGUGAGAUUGAUGUUGCUAUGACUUUGCUAUGCUUAAUGCUUGUCACUAGGGCCCGAGUGCCAUGAUUUCAGAUCUGAACCUAUUAUGUUUUCAUCAAUAUAUGAGUGUUCUUGAUCCUAUCUUGCAAGUCUAUAGUCACCUACUAUGUGUUAUGAUCUGGCAACCCCGAGGUGACAAUAAUAGGGACCACUCCCGGUGAUGACCGUAGUUUGAGGAGUUCAUGUAUUCAUUAUGUGUUAAUGCUUUGGUCUGGUACUCUAUUAAAAGGAGGCCUUAAUAUCCCUUAGUUUCCGCUAGGACCCCGCUGCCACGGGAGGGUAGGACAAAAGAUGUCAUGCAAGUUCUUUUCCAUAAGCACGUAUGACUAUAUUCGAAAUACAUGCCUACAUUACAUUGAUGAAUUGGAGCUAGUUUUGUGUCACCCUAGGUUAUGACUGUUACAUGAUGAACCGCAUCCGGCGUAAUUCUCUAUCACCGAUCCAUUGCCUACGAGCUUUCCAUAUAUUGUUCUUCACUUAUUUACUUUUCCGUUGCUAUUGCUAUCAUCACUACAAAAUACCAAAAACAUUAAUUUUGCUAUCGUUACCUUUUGCUACCGUUACCACUACUAUCAUAUUACGUUGCUACUAAACACUUUACUACAGAUAUUAAGUUUCUAGGUGUGGUUGAAUUGACAACUCAACUUUCAACUGCUAAUACUUGAUAAUAUUCUUUGGCUCCCCUUGUGUCGAAUCAAUAAAUUUGGGUUGAAUACUCUACCCUCGAAAACUGUUGCGAUCCCCUAUACUUGUGGGUUAUCAAGACUAUUUUCUGGCGUCGUUGCCGGGGAGCAUAGCUCUAUUCUUUGAGUCACUUGGGAUUUAUAUCUGUUUAUCAUUAUGAAGAACUUGAGAGAUCCAAAAACCAAGAUUUAUCUCUCAACUACGAGGGGAGGUAAGGAACUGCCAUCUAGCUCUGCACUUGAUUCACCUUCUAUUUUGAGUAAGCUUGCGACACCUAAACCUGCUUCUGCUAUUCAUUCUGAUAUGUCGCAUGUUAUUAAUGAUGCCACUUGUGCUAUGCAUGAUACUUAUGAUGAAACUACUUCUAUGCUUGAUACUACUGUGCCACUUGGUGAAUUUCUUGAUGAACAACUUGCUAGGGUUAGAGAGAAUGAAAUUAUUGAAACUGAUAAUAUAUAUAUAUAUAUUUGAAUAUAUACUGUAGGGUAAAACCCCCACAGCCCUUUAUUGCAGUCUCAAAAAACAAACUGUACAGUGAAAGAAAGAGAUGACAAGCCUAAACGAAAAGUUAAGAAGAACUUACAAUUACAUGAGGGAGUUAACUCAAUCUACAAGCCUAGACUUAGAGCUAUCCUUAAACCUAUGUGACAGGAGAAGAAUGUCAUGUACAAAACUGCCCCUCCAGGCAACAAAAGUAGCCCGUAGUCCCCUGAAAGUUCUUCCAUUUCUCAGAAUCCAUAUAUUCCAAGCAGCUGUGAGCAUAACUUCAAAGAAGAAAGGAUACCCAAAUCGCUGCCUUGCUUGAGAUAUACAUUGCUGAAUAGAAGAACCAUGUGACCAAUCGAUCUGCAGGUAUUUCCAAACCCUGGCACUGAAAUUACAACCAAAGAAUAGGUGAGCCCUGUCCUCCCAAACAAAGGCAUUACAGAUGACACAUAGAUGAUCAGCCGUAGGGGACCUCCGGUGGCUGCGGACCAGCACGUCCUUUGUGUUGAGUCUGUCAAAGAAUAGGAGCCAGCCAAAAACCUUAAUUUUCAUAGUACAUAUGCUCUGCCAAAGCCACCUGCAGGGUUUAAUAGUUGGGAGGUGUGUAUGCAUGAUGUCAUAGAAGCUCUUUGCAGAAAACUGUCCAGAUUUACCAGGCCAAAUCCAAACAUCAGGCAAUGUUGGAUCUCUCUGGAGAUUGAACAUCCUUCCUUCCAAGGAUUCCAAUUCUGCUGCUGCCUGCUGAGAAAUUGGCAGAUGAAACAUUGAGAACAAAUCCUGGGUUUGCAAAAACUCCCUGACAGAAACCUUAUCAUCCAAAACAAAAGAGAAAAGCCUUGGUAAUCUGAGGCUUAGUGGCCUUGAAGAGCCACCUACAUGGCAAGCAUCCAGCCAAAAGAGAGCAGAAUCACCCAUAUUAACUGGCACUGAAGCAAUUGACCUAUAAGUGUCAGCAAGCUUGAGAAUGUCCUUCCACCAAAAGGAGCCAGUUAGGACUGUUGCAUGGGGCACCACUCCAUCAUAAUAACUAUCCCAAAUCAACUGGACCCAAGGAAUCUGCUGUUUGUUGUAGAACUUAUGCAUUUGUUUGAGAAGCAGACCUUGAUUUUGAACAUUGAGGUUGAGAAUGCCAAGUCCUCCCUUAUCCUUUGGUCUGCAAACUAAAUCACAGGCAGCUAGGGAUUGCUUAGGCACAUCAGAAUUUCCUCUCCACAAACACUGCCUGAAAAUCCUAUCCAACUGUUUGAUAAUACCAGGUGGGAUAUGCAAGCUGCAGAGGAAGUAUAUGGGCAUUGAAGUAAGCACAGAUGUGAGAAAUUGUAACCUGGAUCCUUGGUUGAGCAUGGCAGAGCUAACAGACAGUCUUCUUUCAAGACUAUCCACUAAAGGCAUGAAAUCAAUGAUUCUAGGUCUUGUUGUACCAAGAGGCAAACCCAGAUAUGUGAAAGGUAACUGCUCCGGUUUACAUCCCAGGAUGGAAGACAACCUCUGUGCCUCUGUGGGAUCAACAUUUAGUGGCACCAUUGAAGACUUUCCAAAAUUUACCUUUAGGCCAGUAGACUGUUGGAAAAUAUGGAGCAUGUUCUUGAGAGCCACCAACUGGUCCUGUACUGCAGAAAGGAUAAUUAUUGUGUCAUCUGCAUACUGAAUGAUAGGAAAUUCAGGGUCCUAAGAUGGGAUUGGAAGUGUUAGAACUCCCUUAGCCAGCAUGUUAUUGACCAUUGUUUGAAGAAGAUCGGCAGCUAUGACAAAUAAAAGAGGGGAUAGGGGAUCCCCCUGCCUGACCCCACAUUUAUAUUUGAACUGUUUGCCAGGCACCCCAUUAAGCAAAACAGAUGAUGAUCCUGAGGAGAGAAUCUCUUUAAUCCAAGAAAUCCAUUUGGCAUCAAAACCUUUGUGCUGUAGAACUUGCAAGAUGAAGUCAUGCUCCACAGUGUCAAAAGCUUUGGCAAAAUCCAAUUUCAAAAUGAUGGUUGGCCUUUUGGAUUGAUUGCAUUGAUGUAUAUAUUCAAAAGCCCAAGCCAGGCAGUCCUGAAUGGCUCUGCUCUUCAAAAACCCAUAUUGAUUCUUAUGGAUGCAUUGCAGAAUGACCUUUUGAAGCCUAUUUCCCAAAAGCUUAGUAAGGAACUUGAGGCAUGUGUUAGUAAGAGAGAUUGGUCUAAAAUCCUCAAGUCCUUCAGGAGACAACAUCUUUGGAAUUAAGGUGAUAAGGGAUCCAUUAAUAUUUUCCAAAGAUAGCCUCCCAUCAUAAAACCCCUGAAUGAGAGCCAAGAAAUCCUUCUCAAUGAUGGGCCAACACUUCUUAACAAAAAGACCAUUAAAACCGUGAAAGUGAUGAUGAAGAUUCUCCCCCUAAUAAAUAUGAAUUGCCUGUUGUGCCUGAGGGCUAUGUUAUGGAUGAAGAAAUUGCUAAAGCUAUUUUUGUUUGCAAAGAUAGAUAUGAUCUUAAGAAGUUAUUAGCUAAAUGGAAGCAGCAAUCUCUUAAUGCUAGAAUGAAACCUGACCCUGCUUUUGCUACUUCACCUAUCUGUGUUACUGAUAAGGAUUAUGAAUUCUCUGUUGAUCCUGAUAUAAUUACUUUGGUUGAAUCUGAUCCUUUUCAUGGCUAUGAGUCUAAAACUGUUGUGGCACAUCUUACUAAAUUAAAUGAUAUAGCCACCCUAUUCACUAAUGAUGAGAGAACUCGUUACUUUUAUAUCCUUAAAAUAUUCCUGUUCUCAUUAAAGGGUGAUGCUAAGAUAUGGUUUAAUUCUCUUGAUCCUGGUUGUGUGCGUAGUCCCCAGGAUAUGAUUUAUUACUUCUCUGCUAAAUAUUUCACUGCUCAUAAGAAACAAGCUGCUUUGAGGGAUAUAUAUAAUUUUGUGCAAAUUGAAGAAGAGAGUCUCCCACAAGCUUGGGGGAGGCUUCUCCAAUUACUUAAUGCUUUGCCUGAUCAUCCUCUUAAGAAAAAUGAAAUAUUGGAUAUAUUUUAUAAUGGACUAAGUGAUGCUUCCAGAGAUUACCUGGAUAGUUGUGUUGGUUCUGUUUUCAAGGAAAGAACACCGGAUGAAGCUGAAAUUCUAUUGAAUAAUAUGUUGACAAAAGAAAAUAAUUGGACACUUCCUGAGCCAGCUCCUGAGCCUAUUCCUAAACCAACUCCGAAGAAGAGGGGUAUUCUAUUUCUCAGUCCUGAAGAUAUGCAAGAGGCAAAGAAAUCCAUGAAAGAAAAGGGUAUUAAAGCUGAAGAUGUUAAGAAUUUACCUCCUAUUGAAGAAAUACACGGUCUUAAUUUACCGCCUGUUGAAGAAACAUAUGAUCUUAAUCCAUUACCUAUUGAAGAAAUACAUGGUCUUGAUAACCCGACACAAGUAGUAAAGGUAAACUCUCUCUAUAGAUAUGAUAAAAUUGAAAUCCCUCUUACUAAGUUUGCUAGCCAAUGCUUAGAUGAGUUUGAUAAUUUUAUGGUGAAGCAAGAAGAUUUUAAUUCUUAUUUUGGUAGACAAUUGAAAUACAAUUCAAAUAUGCUUGAACACUUGGGUGAUUAUAUGGCUAAUGUUAAAGGUGAAAUUAAACUUAUUAGCAAACAUGCUUCUAUGGUUACCACUCAAGUAGAACAAGUACUUAAAGCUCAAAAUGAUUUGCUCAAUGAACUGAAUAGUAAGAAUAAUGAUAAUGCUGUUAGAGUUAUGACUAGAGGUGGUAAAAUGACUCAAGAACCUUUGUAUCCUGAAGGCCAUCAUAAGAGAAUUGAGCAAGAUUCUCGGAGAAAUAAUAUAGAUGCACCUAGUUCUUCUAAAAGGAAGAAAAAGAAAAAUGAUAGGACUUUGCAUGCUUCUAGUGAACCUAUUGAUGAAACACCUGAGAAUCCAAAUGAUAUUUCUAUUUCUGAUGCUGAAACACAAUCUGGUAAUGAACCUGAAACUAGUGAUAAUAUUAAUGAUAAUGUUCAUGUUGAUGCUCAACCUAGCAAUGAUAAUGAUAUAGAAAUUGAACCUGUUGUUGAUCUUGAUAACCCACAAUCAAAGAAUCAACGUUAUGAUAAGAGAGACUUUGUUGCUAGGAAACAUGGUAAGGAAAGAGAGCCUUGGGUUCAGAAACCCAUGCCUUUUCCUCCCAAACCAUCCAAGAAAAAGGAUGAUGAGGAUUUUGAGCACUUUGCUGAAAUGAUUAGACCUACCUUUUUGCGUAUGCGAUUAACUGAUAUGCUUAAAAUGAAUCCUUAUGCUAAGUACAUGAAAGAAAUUGUUACUAAUAAAAGAAAGAUACCGGAAGCUGAAAUUUCCACCAUGCUUGCUAAUUAUACUUUUAAAGGUGGAAUACCUAAGAAACUAGGAGAUCCCGGAGUACCAACUAUACCAUGCUCCAUUAAAAGAAAUUAUGUUAAAAUUGCUUUAUGUGAUCUUGGAGUCGGUGUUAGUGUUAUGCCUCUCUCUUUAUAUCAUAGACUUGAUUUGAAUAAGUUGACACCUACUAAAAUAUCUUUGCAAAUGGCUGAUAAAUCAACUGCUAUACCUAUCGGUAUUUGUGAGGAUGUGCCUGCUGUGGUUGCAAACGUUACUAUUUUAAUGGACUUUGUUAUUCUUGAUAUUCCCGAGGACGAUAGUAUGUCUAUUAUUCUUGGAAGACCCUUUUUGAAUACUGCAGGGGCUGUUAUUGAUUGCAACAAAGGCAAUGUCACUUUUCAUGUUAAUGGUAAUGAGCAUACGGUACACUUUCCGAGGAAACAACCUCAAGUCCACAGUAUCAAUUCUAUUGGAAAAAUUCAAUCGAUUAUUUUUGAAGGUUUUGAAUUUCCUCUUCCUACUGUCAAAAGAAAUAUGAUAUUCUUAUUAUUGGGGAUGUGCAUAUCCCCGUUGAGGUAACAUAGUGUUAUUCGAAAUUCCUCCGGUUCCAUGUUAUUCGGAAUGAGUUUGCUAACAAGACUUGAUCAACCAUGUUAACGGAUUCCUUUUGAUGAGCAUGAGAUGGAUGAAACUAGAAGGCACAACUCUCCGUACCCUCCUUUUACUUUCUGUUAUUUAUAUUAAAUAAAAUUAAAAGAAGUAUUUUCCGUCUGUUAUCUGAUUUAUCCGUGCAAUAUAAAAUACCCCGAAAAUAAAAGUUCUCCAAAUGCCUUGAAAUUUAAAUAUGAUUUUUUCUGGAAUAUUUGAGAAUAUUUGGCACUAAGAACACAACACAGGGGGCAUCCACCUGGCCACGAGAGUGGAGGGCGCGCCCUACCCCCCCUGUGCGUGCCCCUUGCCUCGUGGGCCCACGGUGGCCCUCCUCCACUUAUUCCUGCACCCACACACUCCUUCCUCCCAUAAACACGAUUAUCCAGUUCGAACCCAAGUCCAAGCUCAUUUUGCUGCUAUUUUCGAUCUCCUUGCUCAAAGCACCUCUCACAAAACUGCUUGGGGGGAUUGUUCCUUGGUAUGCGACUCCUCCAUUGGUCCAAUUAGUUUUUGUUCUAGUGCUUUAUUCAUUGCAAAUUUAUGUUGUCUAGGUGCCCAUGUUCCUGAGCUUGCAUGUCAAAUUUAUGUGGUUCCAACUAGUUUUGAUGCAUGAUAUAGGCUCUAGGCACUUGUAGGAGUUGUUGCUAUCAAUUUUGUUGAGCUUGGCUCACUUUUAUUUGAAGUUACUAAAAAUUUCAGAAUUUUUCAGAAAAUAAUGAAGAGAUUUUUGAGGGGCUCAUCAAGCCGAAGCUCGAAGGAAAAGCAAAAUGAAAAAGCAGAGAGGCCCGAAUAUAAUCUGCCUCGCACCGCAGAGGUUCGGCCGUGUGAAUGGCCUUCCAAUGAUUUCUUGAGAGCAGUCGGGAUUUAUGAUGAUUUUUAUGAAUUGGCUGAGAAUGUAGGCCUCACCGCCUUCCUCCAUGACCAACGCGAACAAUAUCUCUUACUCACCAAUAUCUUUGUGCAAAACUUUCAUUUCCAUGCUAGGAGCUCACCACCUACGGUGGAGUUUUAUUUGUAUGAUGAGCACAAGGAGAUGUCACUUUACGAUUUCUGUCGGGUUUGAUUGAUCCCUUUCGAGGGCACAAUAGAGGAACCACACCGCGGUGAUGUGGAUGGGUUUAUAGAUACCAUCACUGUAGGGGAAACGAGGAAGGUUUCCGAUGCACGAAUCACUAGCAUACAUUUUCCUGUUUUACGCUACUUUGCAAUAUUUGCUAGUCGUUGCUUAAUUGGUCGCGAAAACUGUGGAAACCUUAGUGUUCCUGAUAUUAUUAUUUUGUUCCACGGUUUAUUCUGUGAUAAAUCUGUUAGUAUGGGCGGUAUUAUUGCUAAACGGUUAAGUCUCAACUGUACAAAGGGCCCCAUCUUUGGAGGCAUCUAUGCUUCACGCCUAACUGCGCAUUUUAACAUACCUAUUAAGCAUUAUGAGAAGGAAGAAAAAUUGCUGCCCCUGUUUAUUUAGAUUAUAAGAGUAUGGUGGCACACGAUUUUAUUGUUAAGAAUAGGAAAGGGGAGCUUAAAUACAAAUUGUUCUUUGAUAAACAUCAUCCUGAGACUAUUACCCUGCCUACUCCUUCCUUGUUUGAUUUAUCUCCAGGCAAGUACCUUGUUCCGUUAGAGGCUAUUCACGCCUACCGGAACAUUGCAUCAGCCACAGAGCCAGAGUCGGAACCACUAGUUGAUCCUCCACGACAGUCUAAUUACCAUUGGGAUCCAGAAAUGAUAGCCACCAGUGGAAAUCAGAGUCUUCUUCGCAGUACGACCCCAACUAUUACUAUGGAUAUCCGCCAGGCCAGCCGUGGCCAUAGACCAACUUAGGUCAAAAGCCUAAACUUGGGGGAGUACGUAUUUCCCGCCGACAUUACAUUCAUGUUCGCACACUCAUUGCUAGAUGUCGGUGCUCAUACUUUUUCAUUGUAUCAUCCAUGCUAGUUCAUUUCCUUUUUAAGCUUUCUUCUUGUGUGUUUAAUAAACCUUAAGAAAAACCAAAAAAACUAGUUGUAGCUUUUAGCUAGUUUUAAUUUCCAUGCUUGUAGUAGUAAUUAAAAAGAAAACCCAAAAAAAGAUUUCUUGUUCUUGUUUUGCUCGUUGGGAGCUUUCCCGUGUAAAUAGUUUUAUUUCUUUUCUUUGGGGGUCGAUAGGAGAAUACCAUGAUUAAAUUGUUGAAGUGGCUCUUAUAUAUAUUUUUUAUCUGACAAAAGAGCCCAUAUUGCCUUGUCUUCUCCAGUUUAUUGAAUGCUUGCAGAUUCCAGCUUAGUCCAAUGCACGCGCACUAUUAUUAUUAUCCACAUCGUUCGGUCGUGCAAGUGAAAGGCAAUUAUGACAAUAUAUGAUGGACUGACUGAGAUGAGAAAAGCUGGUAUAAACUCAACCUCUCUUGUUUUUGUAAAUAUGAUUAGUUCAUCGUUCCUGAUUCAGCCUAUUAUGAAUAAACAUGUUUGCAAUGACAACUAGAGAUCAUAGUUUCUUGUGCCAUGCUUGAUUAGCUAGGAGCUUAUAAUGGUUUACCUUGCGUGCCAACAUGCUAUUAAAAUGGUUGUGAUGUGGUAUGAUAGGGUGGUAUCCUCCUCUGAAUGAUUUGAGUGGCUUGACUUGGCACAUGCUCACGCAUGUAGUUGAAAUAAAAUCAACAUAUCCUCUACGAUAUUUAUGUUCAUGGGGAAUUAUAUCCUACUCAUGCUUGCAUUUGGUGUUGAUUAAUUUUAAUGCAUGUUUAUGAGUGUUGUCGCUCUCUAGCUGGUUGCUUCCCAGUCUUUUGCUAGCCUUCACCUGUACUAAGCGGGAAUACUGCUUGUGCAUCCAAUCCCAUAAACCCCAAAGUUAUUCCAUAUGAGUCCACCAUACCUACCUAUUUACGGUAUCUACCUGCCGUUCCAAGUAAAUUUGUAUGUGCCAAACUCUAAACCUUCAAAUAAAUAUCAUGUUUUGUAUGCUCGAAUAGCUCAUGUAUCAACUAGGGCUGUCUGUAUCUUCCAUGUUAGGCGGGUUAUUCUCAAGAGGAGUGGACUCCGCUCCUCACUCACGAGAAAAUGGCUGGUCACCGGGAUGCCCAGUCCCAUGCUUUAUGCAAAUCAAAUCAAAAUAAUUGCAAACAAAACUCUCCCUAGGACUCUUGUUAGUUGGAGGCACUCGUUGUUUUGAGCAAGCCAUGGAUUGAUGCUUGUUAGUGGAAGGGGAGUAUAAACUUUACCAUUCUGUUUGGGAACCGCCUAUAAUGUGUGUAGCAUAGAAUAUAUCGCCCUCUCUUGGUUGUUAUGUUGACAAUGAAAGUAUACUGCUCAAAAUAUUAUUCACCUCUAUUUCAAAACCGAGCUCUGGCACCUCUACAAAUCCCUGCUUCCCUCUGCGAAGGGCCUAUCUAUUUACUUUUAUGUUGACUCAUCAUCCUCUUAUUAAAAAUCACAAGUUGGAGAGCACCGCUGUCAUUUGCAUUCAUUACUGUUAGUUUACAUUGAGUAUGACUGGACUGGAUCUCUUUUACCAUGAAUUACAAUGUCUAGUCAGUCCUUGAUCUUUAAAGGUGCUCUGCAUUUAUGUUUUGCGGUCUCAGAAAGGGCUAGCGAGAUACCAUCUUGUUAUAUCAUAUCAUGAUUGUUUUGAGAAAGUGUUGUCAUCUGAGAUUUAUUAUAUUGCUCGCUAGUUGAUUAUGCCAUUGAUAUGAGUAAACAUGAGACCUAAAUGUUAUUGUGAAUAUGGUUAGUUCAUAAUCUUUGCUGAAAACUUGAAUGCUGGCUCUACAUAUUUACAACAACAAGAGCAAACAGAGUUUGUAAAAGUUUUUCUUUAUCACUUUCAGCUUAUCAACUGAACUGCUUGAGGACAAGCAAAGGUUUAAGCUUUGGGCAGUUGAUACGUCUUCGUCGUAUCUACUUUUCCAAACACUUUUGCCCUUGUUUUGGACUCUAACUUGCAUGAUUUGAAUGGAACUAGCCCGGACUUACGCUGUUUUCAGCAGAAUUGCCAUGGUGUUAUUUUUGUGCAGAUAUAAAAGUUCUCGGAAUGACCCGAAAAUCAACGGAGAAUUAUUUUGGAAUACAUAAAUAAUACUGGAAGGAAGAUCCACGUCAGGGGGGCCUCCACCUGUCCACGAGGGUGGGGGCGCGCCCUACCCCCCUGGUGCUACCUCUUGAGCACUGCGUUGGUUUUCCCUUGAAGAGGAAAGGGUGAUGCAGUAAAGUAGCGUAAGUAUUCCCCUCAGUUUUUGAGAACCAAGGUAUCAAUCCAGUAGGAGAUCACGCUCGAGUCCCACGCACCUACACAACCAAAUAAGAACCUCGCAACCAACGCGAUAAAGGGGUUGUCAAUCCCUUCACGGUCACUUACGAGAGUGAGAUCUGAUAGAUAUGGUAAGAUAAUAUUUUGGUAUUUUUAUGAUAAAGAGAAAUAAAGAUGCAAAGAAAAAUAAACGGCAAUAGAAAUAACUAAGUAUCACCUGGGCGCACCCCCUGCCUCGUGGGCCCCCUGACGCUCCACCAACCUCAACCCUGACUUCAUAUAUUCACUUUCGGGGAGAAAAAACCAGAGAGAAAGAUUCAUCACAUUUUACGAUACGGAGCCGCCGCCAAGCCCUAAACUCUCUCGGGAGGGCUGAUCUGGAGUCCGUUCGGGGCUCCGAAGAGGGGAAUCCAUCGCCAUCAUCAUCAUCAACCUUCCUCCAUCACCAAUUUCAUGAUGCUCACCGUCGUGCGUGCAUAAUUCCAUCGUAGGCUUGCUGGACGGUGAUGGGUUGGAUGAGAUUUAUCAUGUAAUCGAGUUAGUUUUGUUAGGGUUUGAUCCCUAGUAUCCACUAUGUUCUGAGAUUGAUGUUGCUAUGACUUUGCUAUGCUUAAUGCUUGUCACUAGGGCCCGAGUGCCAUGAUUUCAGAUCUGAACCUAUUAUGUUAUCAUCAAUAUAUGAGCGUUCUUGAUCCUAUCUUGCAAGUCUAUAGUCACCUACUAUGUGUUAUGAUCCGGCAACCCCGAAGUGACAAUAAUCGGGACCACUCCUGGUGAUGACCGUAGUUUGAGGAGUUCAUGUAUUCACUAUGUGUUAAUGCUUUGGUCCGGUACUCUAUUAAAAGGAGGCCUUAAUAUCCCUUAGUUUCUGCUAGGACCCCGCUUCCACGGGAGGGUAGGACAAAAGAUGUCAUGCAAGUUCUUUUCCAUAAGCACGUAUGACUAUAUUCGGAAUACAUGCCUACAUUACAUUAAUGAAUUGGAGCUAGUUCUAUGUCACCCUAGGUUAUGAUUGUUACAUGAUGAACCGCAUCCGACAUAAUUCUCUAUCACUGAUCCAUUGCCUACGAGCUUUCCAUAUAUUGUUCUUCGCUUAUUUACUUUUCCAUUGCUAUUGCUAUCAUCACUACAAAAUACCAAAAACAUUACUUUUGCUAUCGUUACCUUUUGCUGCCGUUACCACUACUAUCAUAUUACUUUGCUACUAAACACUUUGCUGCAGAUAUUAAGUUUCCAGGUGUGGUUGAAUUGACAAGUCAGCUGCUAAUAGUUGAGAAUAUUCUUUGGCUCCCCUUGUGUUGAAUCAAUAAAUUUGGGUUGAAUACUCUACCCUUGAAAACUGUUGCGAUCCCCUAUACUUGUGGGUUAUCAUUGCUCCUGCAGCGGGUCUUGCACAUAGCGGUGCUUCCAGGACGUAAUUCUUCUGUGUAGCAAUGAGGAUAAUCCUCAAGUUACGGACCUAGUCCAUGUAGUUGCUACCAUCAUCUUUCAACUUAGGUUUCUCUACGAACGCAUUAAAAUUCAAAGGGACAUUAGCACGGGCCAUUGAUCUACAACAACAUAGACAUGCAAACUACUAUCAGGUGCUAAGUUCAUGAUAAAUUAAAGUUCAAUUAAUCAUAUUACUUAAGAACUCCCACUUAGAUAGACAUCCCUCUAGUCAUCUAAAUGAUCACGUGAUCCAUAUCAACUAAACCAUGUCCGAUCAUCUCGUGAGAUGGAGUAGUUUCAAUGGUGAACAUCACUAUGUUGAUCAUAUCUACUAUAUGAUUCACGCUCGACCUUUCGGUCUCAGUGUUCCGAGGCCAUAUCUGCAUAUGCUAGGCUCGUCAAGUUUAACCCGAGUAUUCUGCGUGUGCAAAACUGGCUUGCACCCGUUGUAUGUGAACGUAGAGCUUAUCACACCCGGUUAUCACGUGGUGUCUCGGCACGACGAACUAUAGCAAUGGUGCAUACUCAGAGAGAACACUUGUACCUUGAAAUUUAGUGAGAGAUCAUCUUAUAAUGCUACCGCCGUACUAAGCAAAAUAAGAUGCAUAAAGGAUAAACAUCACAUGCAAUCAAAAUAAGUGAUAUGAUAUGGCCAUCAUCAUCUUGUGCCUUUGAUCUCCAUCUCCAAAGAACCGUUAUGAUCACCAUCAUCACCGGCUUGACACCUUGAUCUCCAUCGUAGCAUCGUUGUCAUCUCGCCAACUAUUGCUUCUACGACUAUCGCUACCACUUAGUGAUAACGUAAAGCAAUUACAUGGCGAUUGCAUUUCAUACAAUAAAGCGACAACCAUAAGGCUCCUGCCAGUUGCCGAUAACUUUUACAAAACAUGAUCAUCUCAUACAACAACUUAUAUAUCAUCACGCAAAAACAAGUUAGACGUCCUCUACUUUGUUGUUGCAAGUUUUACGUGGCUGCUACAGGCUUCUAGCAAGAACCGUUCUUAUCUACGCAUCAAAACCACAAUGAUUUUUCAUCAAGUGUGUUGUUUUAACCUUCAACAAGGACCGGGCGUAGUCAAACUCGAUUCAACUAAAGUUGGAGAAACAGACACCCAGUAGCCACCUGUGUGUGAAGCACCUCGAUGGAACCAGUCUCAUGAACGCGGUCAUGUAAUGUCGGCCUGAGCUGCUUCAUCCAACAAUACCGCCAAAUCAAAGUAAGACGUUGCUGGUAAGAAGUAUGACUAUUAUCGUCCACAACUCAUUGUGUUCUACUCGUGCAUAUAACAUCUACGCAUAGACCUGGCUCGGAUGUCAUUGUUGGGGAACGUAGUAUUUCAAAAAAAAUCAUACGAUCACGCAAGAUAUAUCUAGGAGAAGCAUAGCAAUGAGCGGGGAGAGUGUGUUCACGUACCCUCGUAGACCGAAAGCGGAAGCGUUUAGUAACACGGUUGAUGUAGUCGAACGUCUUUGCGAUCCAAUCGAUCCAAACACCAAACGUACGACACCUCCGCGUUCAGCACACGUUCAGCUUGAUGACAUCCCUCGAGCUCUUGAUCCAGUUGAGGCCGAGGGAUAGUUCCGUCAGCACGAUGGCGUGGCGACGGUGAUGAUGAAGUUACCGGCGCAGGGCUUCGCCUAAGAACUACGACGAUAUGACCGAGGUGUGUAACUGUGGAGGGGGGCAACGCCCACGGCUAAGAGAAACUUGUGUCUUUGGGGUGCCCCCCUCCCACGUAUAUAAAUGGGGGGAGGAGGCCGGCCCAAAGGGGGGCGCGCCACAUGUUGGGGGUCCUACUAGGACUCCCUAGUCCUAGUAGGAUUCCCCUCUCCUUUCCUUUUACGGAAGGGGGAAAGGGGGGAAGGAGAGGAGGGGAAGAGGGAAAGGGGGCACGCCCCCUCCCCUUCCUAUUCGGACUCCACUUGGGGGGACGCGCACGCCUCCCCCUUGUGGGUUGUACCCUCUUCUCUCCCAUGGCCCAUAAGGCCCAUGAUUUCCCCCGGGGGGUUCCGGUAACCUCCCGGUACUCCAGAAAAAUGCUCGAAUCACUCGGAAUCAUUCUGAUGUUUGAAUGCAACCUUCCAAUAUAUGAAUCUUUACCUCUCGACCAUUUCUGUGAUCUCAUCCGGGACUCCGGACAAACUUCAGUCAUCAAAUCACAUAACUCAUAAUACAAAUUGGCACGAACGUUAAGCAUGCGGACCCUAUGGGUUUGAGAACUAUGUAGACAUGACUGAGACACAUCUCCGGUCAUUAACCAAUAGCGGAACCUGGAUGCUCAUAUUGGCUCCUACAUAUUCUACGAAGAUCUUUAUCGGUCAAACCGCAUAACAACAUACGUAGUUCCCUUUGUCAUAUGUAUGUUAUUUGCCCGAGAUCCGAUCGUCGGUAUCCCCAUACCUAGUUCAAUCUCGUUACCGUCAAGUAUCUUUACUUGUUCCGUAAUGCAUCAUCAUGUAACUAACUCAUUAGUCACAUUGCUUGCAAGGCUUAUAGUGAUGUGCAUUACCGAGAGGGCUUAGAGAUACCUCUCUGAUACACGAAGUGGCAAAUCCUAAUCUCGAUCUAUGCCAACUCAACAAACACCAUCAGAGACACCUGUAGAGCAUCUUUAUAAUCACCCAGUUACAUUGUGACGUUUGAUAGCACACUAAGUGUUCCUCCGGUAUUCGGGAGUUGCAUAAUCUCAUAGUCAUAGGAACAUGUAUAAGUCAUAAAGAAAGCAAUAGCAAUAAAAUUAAACGAUCAUUAUGCUAAGAUAACGGAUGGGUCUUGUCCAUCACAUCAUUCUCUAAUGAUGUGAUCCCGUUCAUCAAAUGACAACACAUGUCUAUGGUUAGGAAACUUAACCAUCUUUGAUUAACGAGCUAGUCUAGUAGAGGCAUACUAGGGACACUCUGUUUGUCUAUGUAUUCACACAUGUACUAAGUUUCUGGUUAAUACAAUUCUAGCAUGAAUAACAAAGAUUUAUCAUGAUAUAAGGAAAUAUAAAUAACAACUUUAUUAUUGCCUCUAGGGCAUAUUUCCUUCAGGAAGAGCAUCGCGGGUGGGAGGGAGAAGGGGAAUUAAGAGAGUGUGGGUUUGGGUUUGGGCCUCCGCGUGCUAUGUGUACACAUGUGUUGGUGGGUCGAUAGUAGUGGUCCUGGGUUUAUACCCCACGCUACUACUAUGGCCUAUCCCGGGGGUACGGUAGAGACCGCUUAGUAGUAGCGAGGGAUUUAUACCCCUCACUACUACUAUCAACUUAGUAGUAGUGAGGGAUUUAUACCCCUCGCUACUACUAUCAACUUAGUAGUAGUGAGGGAUUUAUACCCCUCGAUACUACUAUGGCCAGUCCCGGGGGGCACGGUGGAGACCACUUAGUAGUAGUGUGGGGUUUAUACCCCUCGCUACUACUAUCAACUUAGUAGUAGUGUGGGUUCUAUACCCCUCGCUACCAAUAAUUAGCAGCAGUGUGGCCCAUAUACCCCUCGCUACGGUUAAGCAUCUAUCUAUAAAGUAUUUUCUAGUAGUGCAUCGAUGGCGGCGAAAUCAGUCGUUCUGCUUGUUUUCCCUACUAGCUCUCUGACGUCCAGAACAAGUUUACGGUCAUAAGGUGCAAUAACCUUGCCUUCAUGAGUGACACGAUGACACGGGAACAGGCUUCCAAGCCUAUGGUGUCGCAUCAUGUCGUGGUCUGCUAGACUUAGUGGACGAAUGCUACUACAAUAUCGGUUGAUCUCAUACUACAAUACCAAGGAAGACACGCAACUACUAUAUAUAUUUCUUCAAGUCAGUCAACACAAGUAAAAUCUGGGAGUUCAACUGGUGCAGCUAUGCAAUGCUAAUGGAGACAACACAAUUCAACUUUAGCACUUCACACAUAAGCAACACCACGUUCAAUGGCACACACCUUAGAGUGUACCUAUGGUGGUUGAUUGGGCUAUAAGAAAUGUGAGUCCAUGUGAAGAUGCCAAAUAUAAUAACACGGCUAAUUACACAUGCAGUGGCAGCAGCAACAAGUGCAUGAAUUCCACAAAUGAUCUAGGGUACACAUGCAACUGUGUCCUUGAGUAUGACAACAACCCUUAUCUUCUAGACAAAUGCAUGGUAUGCUACUAAUUUAUUUGCUAAAUAUUCCAAUGAAUUGUGUCCUUUACUUUGUACAUACCCAAUUAUAAUAUUUUAUUUUGCUAAUACAAUGUAGCCUUCAAUUUAAACCAAGGUUUGCAUCCAUUAAUUAUGUUAGGUUCAUAUGACUUCACUACAUAAAUAGGUAGAUAAUGCAUAAGACUGAGAUUGUAGCUAGGGAUGAAAAUCUAAAUACGGCAUGAAUCUAACAAUUAUGAGUAAUGUCUUUGUGACAAGAACUUUCUUUGUCUUUUAUUCCCAUGUUUGAACUAGUAUAGGUCAGGGUUACACAUUAUGGUGCACAUCACUUUAUUUGUCAUCGUUACAUUGAACACUCAUUGACUAAACAACGAUGAUCCAUCCGUCUUGUAUUACAGGUCUUCAUUUCAUUGGCCACCGAUGCUUGUAAGACUACUCCCAGAUGGUUGUUGUUGUGGAUAUGGUUGUUGAGGUUGGUGUGGUUGCUGGGGGAAUGGUUGUUGGGGUUGCUGGGAAAUUGUUUGUUCUAGUUGCUGGGAUAAUUGUUGUUGGGGCUGCAGAAAUGGUUGUUGUGGUUGUUGUGGUUGCAGGAUGGAGGGUUGCUGGGAAAAUGGUUGUUGCGGUCGUAGGGGGAAUGGUUGUUGUGGUUGUAGAGGGAAAGGUUGUUGUGGUUGUUGAGGGAAUGGUUGUUGUGGUUGUUGGGGGAAUGAUUGUUGUGGUUGCAGGGGGAAUGGUUGUUGUGGUUGCUGGGGGAANNNNNNNNNNNNNNNNNNNNNNNNNNNNNNNNNNNNNNNNNNNNNNNNNNNNNNNNNNNNNNNNNNNNNNNNNNNNNNNNNNNNNNNNNNNNNNNNNNNNNNNNNNNNNNNNNNNNNNNNNNNNNNNNNNNNNNNNNNNNNNNNNNNNNNNNNNNNNNNNNNNNNNNNNNNNNNNNNNNNNNNNNNNNNNNNNNNNNNNNNNNNNNNNNNNNNNNNNNNNNNNNNNNNNNNNNNNNNNNNNNNNNNNNNNNNNNNNNNNNNNNNNNNNNNNNNNNNNNNNNNNNNNNNNNNNNNNNNNNNNNNNNNNNNNNNNNNNNNNNNNNNNNNNNNNNNNNNNNNNNNNNNNNNNNNNNNNNNNNNNNNNNNNNNNNNNNNNNNNNNNNNNNNNNNNNNNNNNNNNNNNNNNNNNNNNNNNNNNNUGGUUGCAGAGGGAACGAUUGUUGGGUCUGGGGAAAUGGUUGUUGUGGUUGCCAGGAAAAUGGUUGUUGGGGCUGUGGAAAAGGUUGUUGUGGUUGUUGGGGUUGCUGGGGGAAUGGUUGUUGUGGUUGUAAGGGGGUCGGUUGUUGGGGUUGGGGAAAUAAUUGUUGUGAUUGCUGGGGAAAUUGUUGUUGGGGUGUGGAAAAUGGUUGUUGUGAUGGAUAUGGUUGCUGUGAUGGAUAUGGUUGUUGUGGAUAUGGCUGUUGUGGAAAUAGUUUUUGUUGAUGGGAAAAUGAUUGUUGAGGUGAUUGUAACUCUUUGUUGUUAGGGUUUAGUUGCCUAGCGGCAAUGGCGGUGUUCAUCGCCAUGGCAAGGAGGACAAAGAUGAGGAAGGUCUUCAUGUUGGAUUUGUGGUUACUACUGCUUGCUUGCCUUUGAUGCUUGUGGUCUAGGUGUGUGAAGUUUUGUUGAUGGAAGGUGUCCUUGGUGGUGCAUGUGUAUUUAUAGUUUUCAUGGCAUGGCUUGCUUUCAUCUUUGCACUCGCUCUUUGAAAAAGUGCAUCAAUGCUUAUCCAACUAAUCAUUUGGUUUGUUGUGUUUGGUGCAACUACUUACUAGUGAGAUUUUGGAUUUUCAUGAUAGUUGUUUUUUGUUGAAAUCAUCUGGUUGUAAGGAAUGUUGGAUAAUGACCAAUGACUCAUCUUCUUCACUUUACACUGCAAACAUUGAUCUAGAUUAUGUCCCUUUUUGAAAUUUAGUUUGUGGAGCUCUACAUGUUGUUAGGCUUAUCCAUAUUGGCAUAGCUUGAGUGGAGCUAAGUUUGUAAGCUUGUGUGCGCCAUUAUGAUGGAUCACACUAUUAAUGUGAUGAUUGUUUUACAAAUUAUCUUUCCAAAACUAACUUUAUGUUUUUUGCCCAAUAUGAUUCUAAGACGGAUAACCAGACAUGACUCAUCAAAUAACAAGAUAAACCGAGUAGCAAGUUGGGGGUUAUAAGUUAUAAUAUGGACUUUUCUCUAAGAUACACCAUCUUGUCUUGCAUGCUCUGUGGAUUUGAAAAGCAUCUACUAAUUUAGAUGCAAUUGAAACAAAAGUAGACUAAAAAGGUAAGCAAUGAAAUGAGAAUACUAUUAUGUGAAGCUCUACAUGUCUGGUAAGCAGUGAGAUACUGGAUACAUCUAUAUCUUCAAUCCUUUCAUCCCUAUCAACUCUUUAUUGGCUGCUUUUAUCGUAGUCAUCCCUUAAAUAAAAAUCACUUAAAUAUAAGUUUGGGAGUUAGUACCAACAUAUAUCAUGUACAAGAUAGAAAACUAAGGCACAUAUAGUAGUCUAUUGACCAUAUUUAAUUUCUUGUGAUGUGAAAGCAUGUGGAGUAUAAGUUGGUUAAAUAUAAAGUUGUCCUUCAUACCAGUAGGGAAAGAAUAUGCAGUAUAAAGAUUAGAGCAUUGGACUAAUAUGCUAUUAAAUGCUACAGGAUAAUUGACAGUUCAAGUUAAGAACAACAUUAGCAUUCCAACUUUUGUCUUGUGCAAGUUAAGAACAUGCUAACAAAGUAACCUAAGCAAAUAAGUGCAAAACCUUCACCUAUAAGGAAAUUGUGAAACUACACAAAAUGACCUAUUGUAAAGAAGGAAAAAAAUCUAAAGGUGAAUGAAAGAACGUUAAGUACAUUCAGGAUUCGAUUAUGCCUUCAUGGAUAACCUUUUAGAUGGUGACAUGUCCAUGUUGAUGUGUGUCGGCAUGGAACGAGGACAAGAAGACGUCGUUGCGUCGUACUUUGGGAAUUUCAUCAAACUGGUUGUGUGCGGGAACAAAUAUUUGUCGCCUCCCUGCUCAAAUCUCUCUUCAUGUCACUGAAUCCGACACUCCACCUACCAAAAUCAGCUGCAAGCCAGGGAUAAUCAACGGGUUUCUCCGCCCGUAGCAUCUAUCACCAAAAGUAGUUCAGACUAUAGUCUUGUAGUUCAAAAUUUUGUAAUAACAAGCACUACUAGGUUGCUUUUGUUUGUACGUCUUCAUUCUGUACAACCCAUGGAACUAAAAAUGCAUUGGUCAUUCUUUGUUCUAUACAACCAAUUCAACCAAAAAUGCAUUGGGCUUUUCUUUGUACAUCUUCGGGUUCUACAACCAAUGCAACAAAAAAUCCAUUGGGUAGUCUUCCAUUCUAGUCGGGCACCAACAGUUAAAUGAGGAGCUAAACAAUGUUGGAGUCUAAAACUACAUACAAUCAUGAAGCAUAGAGAGGCGACUUGGAAGCUGUGCUCCUGUGAGCUCGUAUUUUUGUAGACAAAAAGUAAUGUUUGUAUUUUGAAGUGGGAAAAAAUCCUAAAAAGGGAUGUUUUGCGGGUUAUAACUUACUAUUUUUGGGUCCUGGGCUGCAGGAAGGUCGUCAAAAUCAAUGUGUUUUCCCAUUCAAUGCAUGUUUCUUGGGUUAUAGGUCACGCUUUUGGUGUCCUAGGGAGAUCACUUCCCCGGUCAAGAACAUUAGGUGAUGAUUUUUAGAAAAACUCAUUGUUUUAGCCUAACUAGUUUCGAGGAUUGGUGGACGGGAUUAUCAUGGAACAAAGUGACAACCUUCCUUUUCUUCAUGCCUAAUAUAAACUUAGCAGUCAGCUAAAAGUAACUAGCGAUAUCACAGAAUGUUUUUUGUCAAAAGUAGAUACCACUUCAGGAUUCAACUCGGUUAGUUCAAUCACAGACAUGUUAAGAGCAGGAUUUACAACUAACUGCAUAGGGAACAUCUCCUUUUAUCACCCACUAUCUGUCUGUGCACUUUGGUUUUCCCGUAGCAUCACACAAAGCACUUUGUUAGUACCAAUAAUGUGCUCCAACUCUACACAUUAAUCAUCUUGAAUUCUUCUACUGAUGUCGAACAAUGUAAUAUCUUGAAUUCUUCUAACGAGUUCGGAUUAGACUACAUGGGCAAUUUAUCUGGUCCCUGAGAUGCAAGGUCGAUGAACAAUCGCUUCGUCUUAUGACGAGGGGUUGUUUUUGCCUAAGAAACUAAUACAUGUAACUUCGACACCGGAUUAAUAAAUGGUAAAACCUAAAUAAAUUAGAUCACGAGCUAAACCAUUUACUUUUGUAUGCAUUUAAACUUUUGAUACAUAUGAGCUUGUUAAGAUGUUCGCAUAAACACCAUGGUGAUUUGAAGCAAGACAAAGUAAACUUGAACCGCUUGAGCCACUGACUUAAUAAGAACCUCCUUUCCCGCGGCAGAGAUUGUUUUUAAUACAUCCACUCACUUUGGCCCAUAGUUUGUCUUUGAGAUACUUAAAAGCACUAGACAUAGAAUUGACAAUAUUAGAAGGCAAGCCCAAAUAUUUCACAUUUAGUGUUUCUACUUGGACACUGAGACCACCUUUGACCUCAUUUUUGACAUUCUCUCUGCAAUCCUUGCUGAGAAACACUGAAGGCUUCCUAUUUAUUUAUUCUUGACCUAAAGCUUCAUUGCGUCUUGCCUUGGUCUUGCACUACUUGCGGCACAAUACGCCUUUGGAACUGCCGUUCCGAAUUCAGAGUGCCGAAGGUGGUGUGACGAUGUUGAGAUACCGUACUCGUUCGGUAGUGAUUCGGGUUGAUCAUUCAGAGUAGACUUUGACAAUAGCUGCAAGGACAAGAUUGCAUUAGGGAGCCUUUUAAUUACACCUCGGAGGUGCUCAGCAUCUUCUUGAUGAACAACAUGGUCCUAGUGUUGAAUAAUAUCAUAUGGGGUAGUGCUACAACAACUCCACCACAAGCAUGGAGGAAUUUAGCAAAUUCCAUCAGUACUAGGAGAAAGCCUAGUAGCAACGCGAGGUAAAGGACUACUAGUAGCGCGGGUGCCCACGCUACUACUAGGGUGCUACAGCUAAUUGGUAGUAGUAGCGUGGGUGACACCCUGCGCUACUACCACGUCUGUUAGUAUAGUAGCGCGAGUGUCACCCGCACUACUACUAGUUAUCUGUAGCCCGGGUCUGACCCCACGCUACUACUAACUAAUUAGGAAUUAAAAAAAUAAAUUCCAUCCAUGGUUGCUGCUGCUGGGCGUCAUCGUCCUCUCCGUCCAUGGCUGAUGUUGGUCCUGGAGGGGAUGACGUCGUCCAUGGUGAUGGUACUUCCUCACCCAAAUCGUCCCCACACCUCUCCUAUGCUACUGCUACAAAAUAAGAGAAAACGAUUAGAAGAGGAAGAGAGAUAUUGAGAGGAGUAGGAGGAGCAACUGACCGGUGGCCGCCGGAGUUGGAGCUGAUGCCCGAAACCCUAGACGAUGCCCGGUGACCUGUUGCUUCUUUUCCUGGGACCUCAUGUCCUCACAAGGCCAUGUCUCAGCGAGGAAGUGCAAGUGGUUGCGUAGCAGAUCUGUUCAUCGCCAUUGGUGGCGCUCUGUUGGAUCUUCCUCUCCUUCCAGCAUCGGAGAAGGAGGAGGAAGGAGGCGAAGGUGAGGCGUAAGUCAGUGGCCCAAAAUUUUUAUAUAGAUGAGACUUACUAAGUAAUAACCCCAUAGAAUCUAUCUAUAUAAAGAUAAAGAGGCAAUCGUGUCAGGAAGCGGGUUUUUCUUUGGCCAAAAGGUACUUAGAACUUGGAACGAGCAUGAAGAGAUUAACGAGACUUCUUUCUCUUUUGAGUUUUUCUGGCGGACCUGCCGCGCAAGAUCUUUGGUCUUCCCCUGGAACCGAUGAAAAAAAGUGGAUUGCUUCUUAUGUACUCGCUCAGCUUAAGAUGCUCGCAUAAUCCCCGUGGUAAUUUGAAGCAAUACAUAGAGUAAACUAGAACUGCUUGAGCCACUAACUUAAUGAGAACCUCCUUUCCCGUAGGAUAUAUCAUUUUUUCAAUCCAUCCAUUCACUUUGGCCCAUAGUAUGUCUUUGAGAUACUUAAAAGCAGUAGAUUAGAAUUACCAAUAUCAUAAGGCAAGCCCAAAUAUUUCUCAUUUAGUGUUUCUGUUGGACACUGAGAACACCUUUGACCUCAUAUCUAACAUUCUCUACACAACCCUUGCUGAGAAACACUGAAGACUUGCUAUUAUUUAUUCUUUGACCUGAAACUUGGCAAUAGGUUUGACACAUCUGUCGCCCCUGAACCAUUUGCCUUGAAAAACAGCAGGCUGUCAUCUGCAAAUAACAAGUGGUUAACUGAUGCCACCAAAGGAGCUACUUGGAUUCCAGUAAACUGGGAUGACUAGUCUCUAGAUUUGAGGAGGCCCGAAAGGCCAUGUACUGCUAACAGGAAAAUCAAGGUGAAUUGGAUCUUGCUGCCGUAUACCACGGGUAGGUUUGAGCUCAUCAAGUUUCUUGCUCUUGAAUAAAAUUGAAUAAGAUACAGAAGCUACCAUGCUCAUUUCUAUGGAGGCCCAUUUAACAGAGAAUCCAAAGUUGAGAUUUAUCACCUCCAAAUACGCCCAUUCAACUAGAUUAUAAGCCUUCAUCAUAUCCAAUUUUAGAGUACAAUGGUGAUGUUACAAUGACUUAUUCCUUUUCAUGAAAUGUAAGCACUCGUAGGCCACGAUUAUAUUGUCAGUGAUAAGGCGACCCGGAACAGAAGCCGACUCUUCACUCAAUAUUAUCUCCGGAAGGGCCCCUUUUAGCCGGUUAGCCAGAACUUUGGGUGUUAUUUGUAAAGUUGCAUAGGCUAAUACGACAGAACUGGCUUAGGAAAGUACCAUUUUGUACCUCAUCACUAUCCUCGCCACAAUACAAAGGACAACCAUUGUUACCUCCUCGCCGCAAAUAUCCCAAUGUUUCUCAAAGAAAUGUUCAAAGAAUCCGUCCGGGCCCAAGGCCUUCAUGCGGAACAUUUGAAACAAUACAAUUUAAACCUUGUUGUAGAAUACUUAGCGUCAAGGAAGGCAUUCAUCGCAUCACUGACCUUUACUGGAACCAAGUCAGGAAAUCAUGCAUAUUAGAAACAGUCUCAGAAGUGAAAAGCUCCGAGUAAAACUAUGUUGUGAUCUCUUCCAAUUCCUUAAGAACACUGAUAACAUCACAUUAGGUUGCUACAAUGAUUUGGUCAAAUUAUUCCGCCUUCUCAUCGAAGCCCUUAAGUGAAAGAAGCAUGUGGUCUUGUCCCCACUAAUCAGCCACUUAAUCUGAGAUCUAGUAGGCAAGAUGAGUGACGGGAAGUAGUUCGGAACAAUUUCCUCUUAUUCACUUCUAAAACAAAUUUUCGGUUUUUGUCGUUCCUAAGCCAAGGAUUUGAUAAAUAUUCAUAAAUUUUUAAAAUGUUCACCAAUAUUAAAAACAUCAUGAUUUUAAAAAACCGUGAUUUUUAAACAAAAUCAUAAAUAUGAAAAUUGCCAUUCACAAAAUUUUAAAAUAAAAUCAUGAAUUUUAAAAGAAUUUUCAAAAUUUUGAUAAAUAUCUACGAAUUUUACAACUUUGAUGAAUUUUAAAAACAAACCAUAACAAAAAAACACUAGCAAGUUCGAUCCUAAAAAAUGCCUUGCCUUCUACUAUGCGUAGCGUGCAUGGACAGCCGGACCUAGACACCCUAGACCAAAAACCCUACAUCUGGGCCAGGCCCGAGCUCCAUUUUUUGGCCCAAAGCCCAGCCCAAAAAGGCAGAAAUGGUAAGAAAUGUAUACUUUAUUCAAAAUAUAGGUAUAUUAUAUUGUUUUAGUAUCUCAAAUAAUUAUUUAAAUUGAAAAAUGUCGUUGUUCAUGUGUUUCUGGACGGGCCAAGCCAGGCUCAUGCUUGGGAUUUUUGCUUCGGGCUUUGACAACCUGGCCCGGGGUAUGAUCAAGUUCAGCAUGGCCCAGUCACACACCCUUGUACAACAUUUUGUUGUAGAGAGCGGCAAAUAUAAUUUUCCCGAUCUAAUAUUGCUCGCUAUAAGUCUAUAUCUAUACUUUUUUCUAUACCCAUACUAAUAAAGCAAGGUGCGUUUCCCCAAUUUUUUCAUUCAUUCACUGUCGAAAACAAUUAUGUUUCCUAUCCGAGGUGGUCCUAAAUUCUUAUGCGUUCAUCUGCUAAAAGAAAGGCUUUUCCGGAAUUUCUUACGUGGGUUGCGCGCUAUGGCCAGUGAAGUCAGCCCACUUAUUUUUCUGCCCAUGCAGCUCUAAAAAAUCUAUUUAACACACAGGGCAAGAAAUAGUCGGCACUUCAAACUGGAAAACAAAUAAUGGGCUAGCCAAUUUUUCUUUGUUUCUGUGUUUUAUUUCUAUUUUUAUUCUCCUUCCCCGAUUUCUUUUUUCACUUCCAAGUUUACAUUUCUUAUAGAAUUUAUUUUAUAAAUUCAAAAUUCUCAAAAAACAUAGAGAAUUUUAAAAAAAUGGAAAAUGUUCAUAACUCCAAUUUUUUUGCUAUUUAAAUUUUUUUCAGAACUUGAAUUUUUUCCCUUUUUCCGAAAAUUUUAUUGUUUUUUAAAAUUGUUAGAGAUUUCUAAAAAGAAAAUGGAAAUUUAAAAAGUCUUCCAAAUUCGAAAAAAAAUCAUGUUUUAGUGAAAUUUUCACAACUCAAAUUAUUCUUAAAAAAUACACAUUUUAAAAAGUAAGGAUUUUCAAUACAUGUUCCCGUUCUAAAAAAAUGUUGACAAAUUCAAAUAAUGUUCAUGUUUUUAUUUUAAAAGUUCGUGUUUUCAAAAAUGUUUGUAAAUUCUAAAAGAUGUUCCUAUUUCAUAUUUUGUUCAUGUUUUUCUGAAAGUGUACCUAAUUUUCAAAAAACUGUUCAGGAUUUAAAAAAUGGUUCAUGUUGCCUACAAUAUUGAGAAACUUCAUACCUUAAAAUCUCCUCGAUUGAAGGAACCAUAGAUUGAAUAAUUCAUGGGCCUUCUCUGGUGGACGAUGACGUAGCAAAACUCUUAAAUGCCCUCAAUCAAUGAAUGGAAAAAUAGCGAAUUGAGUACUUCACACCCAGCGAAACAAAGAAGCUAAAUGUUCCCUUUUUACGUGCGCACAGGGUUUUGCUUGCACAAAUAAUUCUCACUAACUUCCAAUGCAUACUAAUUUUUCUCCCAUUGCGAAGCACAAGCAUAUGUGCUAGUUUUAUCCACGGUGGUACUAAAUUUUUUUGAGUCCAUCUGCUAGAAAAAGGAAAAACAGUUUUGUCAAAAUUUUCGUACAUGGGCCGCGCGCGCUGUGGCCCAGCGAAGCUGGCCCAUUUAUUUCCGGCCGAAGCAGCUGAGAAUAAUUAUUUAACGCUUGGGGCGGCAAAUAGACAAAGUUUCGCAUAGGGCGCCAAAUAUUUGGUCGGCCCAUAUUUGUUUUCUCUCUAGUUUGUUUCUUUUUUUAUUUUCCUUUCUCCUUUUCUUAUCUCUUUACUUUUUCUUUUUUCCCUUUCAAGUUAAUUUUUCUUUUCUCCUUUUCCAUAAAUUAAAUUUUUCAAUAUUUCAGAAUUUUAGUUUUGGAUUAAAUUUUCGUAAAAUCUUCAUAAUUAUUUCUCCCCAUUUUGAAUUGUUUUUAAACUAUAAUUUUUUCUUCUUCUUCUUCCAAAAUUUAUUCAAAACUAUAGAAUAAAGUUCGCAUAUUAAUUUUUUUAUGCUUUCCAAAAUUGUUUGAUAUUUUCAAAAUAUAUUGCAUUAAAAAAUUAAAUAUUUAGAUUUUAUUGAAAUGUUAAUUCAAAGUAAUGUUUGUGUUUAAAAACAUGUUUUUCAAAAUUCUUUUCAAUGUCCAAAACACGUUUUCAUUUCCAAAAAAAAUCACGUAUUCAAAACAUGUUUGCUUUCUUAUAAUAGGUUCAUGUUUUCAAAAAACAUAAAUUUCAAAAAAAUUGUCACAUCUUAAAGAAUAUUCAAAAUAUCGUAAUUAUUACUUUAUUUUUUGAAAAAAAUCAAGAAAAACAGAAAAAAAAAUGUAUAUUAUGCUACAGUAUAUUCUUAAAAUUUCGCCCUCGCCAUUUGUUAGCAUGAGCUGUUUGUUCGAGUGGCUAGCAGCACGUGGUCGAGUUUUUGAGGUCAUGAGUUUGAUCCUUCAACUCAGUGGUUGUUUUGGAUUUUUAUUCACGCCUUACAAAUACAAGUCAUUUUGGUACCUGCCAGCGGCCUUGCCAGACUCGAACUGCCGUGCAUCCGACGUGCUAUUUGACGAUAAAAGAGAAUAUGUUGCUUGACUAUAAUUAAAAAAAUGUGGGCACAUGCCAAUAAAAGAGGAUAUGCUGGUUUGACUCUGAUUAAAAAAAUGUUGGCAAGUGAGCGUCGAAAUAAUUAAAGAGAAUAAACCCUGGUAAAGUAGGGACUACCUGGUUACGUGCUUAUUAUACCAAAGAAACGGGAUUUCCUGCAAUUAGUACUUCAACCGGUUACACCAUCAUAGGAGAGAGUAGUCGAAGCAACUAUGCCACGAAGGUCGCCGUGCUGCACAAAAUGAGGAGGCAACCGCAACCUAGACACGGAGGCAGACUCGGAGAAAAAAAAGCGCAAGUUGGGUGGUGGCCACCACUCCAGCAACCCCAUCAAUAUCAAGAACUCGUGGGCCAAACAUGAUCUCAAGAACAUCGCCGGGGAGACCUUUUGAUGGACACAUCAAUUAUCUCUCCUGAUACUUCUCGUUAAAAAUAUCUUUCUAGUUCUAACGCACGGGCAUAUGUGCUAGUGAUAUAUAAAAUAUGUUGUGCCAAUGAGCACACGGGCUAGCGAGACUCGCCAUGCUUUCAUGUCAUACCGGAGUCCAAACACUCAACUGGAGGGUCCAACCUUAGCGACAGAGUCUUCUUUUGUUGGGAGAAUCUAUAUAUCCGCGAGUGUUAUAUCUCGCAUCUGGUUUACGCGCAGUGCACCUAACCACUAGGCUUUGCCUUACAUUCAUGACAGAGUAGUAAAGCUAGAUUGUUUAAGUCCACACGAGUCAAGGUUUUCAAUGUUUCUUCUCCAUUUUUUUUCAUUUUUUCAUUUUUGUUUUUAUAUUUAUUUCUGUCGGGUUUGUUUGAUCCCUUUCGAGGGCAUAAUAGAGGAACCACACCGUGGUGAUGUGGAUGGGUUUAUAGAUACCAUCACUGUAGGGGAAACGAGGAAGGUUUUCGAUGCACGAAUCACUAGCAUACAUUUUCAUGUUUUACGCUAAUUUGCAAUAUUUGCUAGUCGUUGCUUAAUUGGUUGCGGAAACUGUGGAAACCUUAGUGUUCCUGAUAUUAUUAUUUUGUUCCACGGUUUAUUCUGUGAUAACUCUAUUAGUAUGGGCGGUAUUAUUCCUAAAUGGUUAAGUCUGAACUGUACAAAGGGCCCCAUCUUUGGAGGCAUCUAUGCUUCACACCUAGCUGCGCAUUUUAACAUAGCUAUUAGGCAUUAUGAGAAGGAAGAAAAAUUGCUACCCCCUGUUUAUUUAGAUUAUAAUAGUAUGGUGGCACAUGAUUUUAUUGUUAAGAAUAAGGAAGGGGAGCUUAAAUACAAAUUGUUCUUUGAUAAACAUCAUCCUGAGACUAUUACCCUGCCUGCUCCUUCCUUGUUUGAUUUAUCUGCAGGCAAGUACCUCGUUCCAUUAGAGGCUAUUCACGCCUACCGAAACCCUACAUCAGCCAUAGAGCCAGAGUCGGAACCACAAGUUGAUUCUCCAUGACAGUCUAAUUACCAUUGGGAUCCAGAAAUGAUUGCCACCAGUGGCAAUCAGAGUCUUCUUCGCAGUACGACCCCAACUAUUACUAUGGAUAUCCGCCAGGCCAGCCGUGGCCAUAGACCAACUUAGGUCAAAAGCCUAAACUUGGGGGAGUACGUAUUUCCCGCCGACAUUACAUUCAUGUUCGCACACUCAUUGCUAGAUGUCGGUGCUCAUACUUUUUCAUUGUAUCAUCCAUACUAGUUCAUUUCCUUUUUAAGCUUUCUUCUUGUGUGUUUAAUAAACCUUAAGAAAAACCAAAAACAUUAGUUGUAGCUUUUAGCUAGUUUUAAUUUCCAUGCUCGUAGUAGUAAUUAAAAAGAAAACCCAAAAAAAAGAUUUCAUGUUCUUCUUUUGCUUGUUGGGAGCUUUCCCGUGUAAAUAGUUUUAUUUCUUUUCUUUUCUUUGGGGGUCGAUAGGAGAAGACCAUGAUUAAAUUGUUGAAGUGGCUCUUAUAUGUAUUUUUGUUGAUCUGACAAAAGAGCCCAUAUUGCCUCGACUUCUCCUGUUUAUUGAAUGCUUGCAGAUUCCAGCUUAGUCCAAUGCACGUGCACUAUUAUUAUUAUCCACAUCAUUCGGUCGUGCAAGUGAAAGGCAAUUAUGACGAUAUAUGAUGGACUGACUGAGAUGAGAAAAGCUGGUAUGAACUCAACCUGUCUUGUUUUUGUAAAUAUGAUUAGUUCAUCGUUCCUGAUUCAGCCUAUUAUGAAUAAACAUGUUUGCAAUGACAACUAGAGAUCAUAGUUUCUUGUGCCAUGCUUGAUUAGCUAGGAGCUUAUAAUGGUUUACCUUGCGUGCCAACAUGCUAUUAAAAUGGUUGUGAUGUGGUAUGAUAGGGUGGUAUCCUCCUCUGAACGAUUCGAGUGGCUUGACUUGGCACAUAUUCACGCAUGUAGUUGAAACAAAAUCAACAUAGCCUCUACGAUAUUUAUGUUCAUGGUGAAUUAUAUCCUACUCAUGCUUGCAUUCGGUGCUGAUUAAUUUUAAUGCAUGUUUAUGACUGUUGUCGCUCUCUAGCUGGUCGCUUCCCAGUCUUUUGCUAGCCUUCACCUAUACUAAGCGGGAAUACUACUUGUGCAUCCAAUCCCAUAAACCCCAAAGUUAUUCCAUAUGAGUCCACCAUACCUACCUAUUUACGGUAUCUACCUGCCGUUGCAAGUAAAUUUGUAUGUGCCAAACUCUAAACCUUCAAAUAAAUAUCAUGUUUUGUAUGCUCGAAUAGCUCAUGUAUCAACUAGGUUUGUCUGUAUCUUUCAUGUUAGGCGGGUUAUUCUCAAGAGGAGUGGACUCCGCUCCUCACUCGCGAGAAAAUGGCUGGUCACCCGGAUGCCUAGUCCCAUGCUUUAUGCAAAUCAAAUCAAAAUAAUUGCAAACAAAAUUGCCCCUGGGACUCUUGUUAGUUGGAGGCACUCGUUGUUUCGAGCAAGCCAUGGAUUGAUGCUUGUUGGUGGAGGGGGGGUAUAAAAUUUUCCAUUCUGUUUGGGAACCGCCUAUAAUGUGUGUAGCAUGGAAGAUAUCACCAUCUCUUGGUUGUUAUGUUGACAAUGAAAGUAUACCGCUCAAAAUAUUAUUUACCUCUAUUUCAAAAUCGAGCUCUGGCACCUCUACAAAUCCCUGCUUCCCUCUGCGAAGGGCCUAUCUAUUUACUUUUAUGUUGAGUCAUCAUCCUCUUAUUAAAAUGCACCAGUUGGAGAGCACCGUUGUCAUUUGCAUUCAUUACUAUUAUUUUACAUUGAAUAUGACUUGACUGGAUCUCUUUUACCAUGAAUUACAAUGUCUAGUCAGUCCUUGAUCUUUAAAGGUGCUCUACAUUUAUGUUUUGCGGUCUCAGAAAGGGCUAGCGAGAUACCAUCUUGUUAUAUCAUAUCAUGAUUGUUUUGAGAAAGUGUUGUCAUCCGAGAUUUAUUGUUAUUGCUCGCUAGUUGAUUAUGCCAUUGAUAUGAGUAAACAUGAUACAUAAAUGUUAUUGGAAUAUGGUUAGUUCAUAAUCUUUGCUGAAAACUUGAAUGCUGGCUCUACAUAUUUACAACAACAAGAGCAAACAGAGUUUGUAAAAGUUUUUCUUUAUCACUUUCAGUUUAUCAACUGAAUUGCUUGAGGACAAGCAAAGGUUUAAGCUUGAGGGAGUUGAUACGUCUCCGUCGUAUCUACUUUUCCAAACACUUUUGCCCUUGUUUUGGACUCUAACUUGCAUGAUUUGAAUGGAACUAACCCGGACUGACGUUGUUUUCAGCAGAAUUGCCAUGGUGUUAUUUUUGUGCAGAAAUAAAAGUUCUCGGAAUGACCUAAAAAUCAAAGGAGAAUUAUUUUGAAAUAUAUAAAAAAUAUUGGAAGGAAGAUCCACGUCAGGGGGGCCUCCACCUGUCCACGAGGGUGGAGAGCGUGCCCUACCCCCCUGGUGCUACCUCUUGAGCACUGCGUUGGUUUUCCCUUGAAGAGGAAAGGGUGAUGCAGUAAAGUAGUGUAAGUAUUUCCCUCAGUUUUUGAGAACCAAGGUAUCAAUCAAGUAGGAGAUCACGCUCGAGUCCCGCGCACCUACACAAACAAAUAAGAACCUCGCAACCAAUGCAAUAAAGGGGUUGUCAAUCCCUUCACGGUCACUUACGAGAGUGAGAUGUGAUAGAUAGGAUAAGAUAAUAUUUUUGGUAUUUUUAUGAUAAAGAGAAAUAAAGAUGCAAAGUAAAAUAAACAGCAAUAGAAAUAACUAAGUAUCACCUGGGCGCACCCCCCUGCCUCGUGGACCCCCUGACGCUCCACCGACCUCAACCCUGACUCCAUAUAUUCACUUUCGGGGAGAAAAAAACCAGAGAGAAAGAUUCAUCAUGUUUUACGAUAUGGAGCCGCCGCCAAGCCCUAAACUCUCUCGGGAGGGCUGAUCUGGAGUCUGUUCGGGGCUCCGGAGAGGGGAAUCCGUCGCCAUCGUCAUCAUCAACCUUCCUCCAUCACCAAUUUCAUGAUGCUCACCGCCGUGCGUGAGUAAUUCCAUCGUAGGCUUGCUGGACGGUGAUGGGUUGGAUGAGAUUUAUCAUGUAAUCAAGUUAGUUUUGUUAGGGUUUGAUCCCUAGUAUCCACUAUGUUCUGAGAUUGAUGUUGCUAUGACUUUGCUAUGCUUAAUGCUUGUCACUAGGGCCCGAGUGCCAUGAUUUCAGAUCUGAACCUAUUAUGUUUUCAUCAAUAUAUGAGUGUUCUUGAUCCUAUCUUGCAAGUCUAUAGUCACCUACUAUGUGUUAUGAUCCGGCAACCCCGAAGUGACAAUAAUCGGGACCACUCCUGGUGAUGAUCGUAGUUUGAGGAGUUCAUGUAUUCACUAUGUGUUAAUGCUUUGGUCUGGUACUCUAUUAAAAGGAGGCCUUAAUAUCCCUUAGUUUCCGCUAGGACCCUGCUGCCACGGGAGGGUAGGACAAAAGAUGUCAUGCAAGUUCUUUUCCAUAAGCACGUAUGACUAUAUUCGGAAUACAUGCCUACAUUACAUUGAUGAAUUGGAGCUAUUUCUGUGUCACCCUAGAUUAUGACUGUUACAUGAUGAACCGCAUCCGACAUAAUUCUCUAUCACCAAUCCAUUGCCUACGAGCUUUCCAUAUAUUGUUCUUUGCUUAUUUACUUUUCCGUUGCUAUUGCUAUCAUCACUAUAAAACAACAAAAACAUUACUUUUGCUAUCGUUACCUUUUGCUACCGUUACCACUACUAUCAUAUUACUUUGCUACUAAACACUUUGCUGGAGAUAUUAAGUUUCCUGGUGUGGUUGAAUUGACAACUCAGCUGCUAAUACUUGAGAGUAUUCUUUGGCUCCCCUUGUGUCGAAUCAAUAAAUUUGGGUUCAAUACUCUACCCUCGAAAACUGUUGCGAUCCCCUAUACUUGUGGGUUAUCAUUGCUCCUGCAGCGGGUCUUGCACCUAGCGGUGCUUCUAGGACGUAAUUCUUCUGUGUAGCAAUGAGGAUAAUUCUCAAGUUAUGGACCCAGUCCGUGUAGUUGCUACCAUCAUCUUUCAACUUAGCUUUCUCUACGAACGCAUUAAAAUUCAAAGGAACAGUAGCAGGGGCCAUUGAUCUACAAUAACAUAGACAUGCAAAAUACUAUUAGGUGCUAAGUUCAUGAUAAAUUAAAGUUCAAUUAAUCAUAUUACUUAAGAACUCCCACUUAGAUAGACAUCCCUCUAGUCAUCCAAAUGAUCACGUGAUCCAUAUCAACUAAACCAUGUCUGAUCAUCACGUGAGAUGGAGUAGUUUCAAUGGUGAACAUCACUAUGUUGAUCAUAUCUACUAUAUGAUUCACGCUCGACCUUUCGGUCUCAGUGUUCCGAGGCCAUAUCUGCAUAUGCUAGGCUCGUCAAGUUUAACCCGAGUAUUCUGCGUGUGCAAAACUGGCUUGCACCCGUUGUAUGUGAACGUAGAGCUUAUCACACCCGGUUAUCACGUGGUGUCUCGGCACGAUGAACUAUAGCAAUGGUGCAUACUCAGAGAGAACACUUGUACCUUGAAAUUUAGUGAGAGAUCAUCUUAUAAUGCUACCGCCGUACUAAGCAAAAUAAGAUGCAUAAAGGAUAAACAUCACAUGCAAUCAAAAUAAGUGAUAUGAUAUGGCCAUCAUCAUCUUGUGCCUUUGAUCUCCAUCUCCAAAGAACCGUUAUGAUCACCAUCAUCACCGGCUUGACACCUUGAUCUCCAUCGUAGCAUCGUUGUCAUCUCGCCAACUAUUGCUUCUACGACUACCGCUACCGCUUAGUGAUAAAGUAAAGCAAAAACAAGUGUGAUGUCCUCUACUUUGUUGUUGCAAGUUUUACGUGGCUGCUACGGGCUUCUAGCAAGAACCGUUCUUAUCUACGCCUCAAAACCACAACAAUUUUUCGUCAAGUGUGUUGUUUUAACCUUCAACAAGGAUCGGGCGUAGUCAAACUCGAUUCAACUAAAGUUGGAGAAAUAGACACCCACUAGCCACCCGUGUGUGAAGCACCUCGGUAGAACCAGUCUCAUGAACGCGGUCAUGUAAUGUCGGUCUGAGCCACUUCAUCCAACAAUACCGCCAAAUCAAAGUAAGACGUUGCUGGUAAGAAGUAUGACUAUUAUCGUCCACAACUCAUUGUGUUCUACUCAUGCAUAUAACAUCUACGCAUAGACCUGGCCCGGAUGUCACUGUUGGGAAACGUAUUAUUUCAAAAAAAAAUCCUACAAUCACGCAAGAUAUAUCUAGGAGAAGCAUAGCAAUGAGCGGGGAGAGUGUGUCCACGUACCCUCGUAGACCGAAAGCGGAAGCAUUUAGUAACACGGUUGAUGUAGUCGAACGUCUUUGCGAUCCAACCAAUCCAAACACCUAACGUACGGCACCUCCGCAUUCAGCACACGUUCAGCUCGAUGACAUCCCUCGAGCUCUUGAUCUAGUUGAGGCCGAGGGAUAGUUCCGUCAUCGCGAUGGCGUGGCGACGGUGAUGAUGAAGUUACCGGCGCAGGGCUUCGCCUAAGCACUACGACGAUAUGACCGAGGUGUGUAACUGUGGAGGGGGGCACCGCACACGGCUAAGAGAAACUUGUGUCUUUGGGGUGCCCCCUCCCACGUAUAUAAAUGGAGGGAGGAGGCCGGCCCAAGGGGGGGCGCCACAUGUGGGGAGUCCUACUAGGACUCCCUUGUCCUAGUAGGAUUCCCCUCUCCUUUCCUUUUACGGAGGGGGAAAGGGGGGAAGGAGAGGAGGGGAAGAGGGAAAGGGGGGCACGCCCCCUCCCCUUCCUAUUCGGACUCCACUUGGGGGGGACGCGCACGCCUCCCCCUUGUGGGUUGUCCCCUCUUCUCUCCCAUGGCCCAUAAGGCCCAUGAUUUCCCCCAGGGGGUUCCCGUAACCUCCCGGUACUCCGAAAAAAUUCCCGAAUCACUCGGAAUCAUUCCGAUGUUCAAAUGCAACCUUACAAUAUAUGAAUCUUUACCUCUCAACCAUUUUCGUGAUCUCAUCUGGGACUCCGAACAAACUUCAGUCAUCAAAUCACAUAACUCAUAAUACAAAUUGGCAUCGAACGUUAAGUGUGUGGACCCUACGGGUUUGAGAACUAUGUAGACAUGACCGAGACACAUCUCCGGUCAAUAACCAAUAGCGGAACCUAGAUGCUCAUAUUGGCUCCUACAUAUCUACGAAGAUCUUUAUCGGUCAAACCGCAUAACAACAUACGUUGUUCCCUUUGUCAUAUGUAUGUUAUUUGCCCGAGAUUCGCUCGUCGGUAUCCUCAUACCUAGUUCUAUCUCGUUACCGGCAAGUCUCUUUACUUGUUCCAUAAUGCAUCAUCUGGUAACUAACUCAUUAGUCACAUUGCUUGCAAGGCUUAUAGUGAUGUGCAUUACCGAGAGGGCCCAUAUAUACCUCUCUGAUACACGGAGUGACAAAUCCUAAUCUCGAUCUAUGCCAACUCAAGAAACACCAUCGGAGACACCUGUAGAGCAUCUUUAUAAUCACCCAGUUACGUUGUGAUGUUUGAUAGCACACUAAGUGUUCCUCCGGUAUUCGGGAAUUGCAUAAUCUCAUAGUCAUAGGAACAUGUAUAAGUCAUGAAGAAAGCAAUAGCAAUAAAAUUAAACGAUCAUUGUGCUAAGAUAACGGAUGGGUCUUGUCCAUCACAUCAUUCUCUAAUGAUGUGAUCCCGUUCAUCAAAUUACAACACAUGUCUAUGGUUAGGAAACUUAACCAUCUUUGAUUAACGAGCUAGUCUAGUAGAGGCAUACUAGGGACACUCUGUUUGUCUAUGUAUUCACACAUGUACUAAGUUUCCGGUUAAUACAAUUUUAGCAUGAAUAAUAAAGAUUUAUCAUGAUAUAAGGAAAUAUAAAUAACAACUUUAUUAUUGCCUCUAGGGCAUAUUUCCUUCAGGAAGAGCAUUGCGGGUGGGAGGGAGAAGGGGAAUUAAGAGAGUGUAGGUUUCGGUUUGGGCCUCCGCGCGCUAUGUGUACACAUGUGUUGGUGGGUCAAUAGUAGUGGCGCCAGGUUUAUACCCCACACUACUACUAUGGCCUAUCCCGGGGGUACGAUAGAGACCACUUAGUAGUAGCGAGGGAUUUAUACCCCUCGGUACUACUAUCAACUUAGUACUAGUGAGGGAUUUAUACCCCUUGCUACUACUAUCAACUUAGUAGUAGUGAGGGAUUUAUACCCCUCGAUACUACUAUGGCCAGUCCCGGGGGGCACGGUGGAGACCACUUAGUAGUAGUGUGGGGUUUAUACCGCUCGCUACUACUAUCAACUUAGUAGUAGCGUGGGUUCUAUACCCCUCUCUACUAAUAAUUAGCAGCAGUGUGGCCCAUAUACCCCUUGCUACUGUUAAGCAUCUAUCUAUAAAUUAUUUUCUAGUAGUGCAUCAAUGGCGGCGAAAUCAGUCAUUCUGCUUGUUUUCCCUACUAGCUCUCUGACGUCCAGAACAAGUUUACGGUCAUAAGGUGCAAUGCCCUUGCCUUCAUGAGUGACACGAUGACACGGGAACGGGCUUCCAAGCCUAUGGUGUCGCAUCGUGUCGUGGUCUGCUAAACUUAGUGGACGGAUGCUACUCCAAUAUCGGUUGAUCCUAUACUACGGUACCAAGGAAGACACGCAACUACUAUAUAUAUUUCUUCAAGUCAGUCAACACAAGUAAACUCUGGGAGUUCAACUGGUGCAGCUAUGCAAUGCUAAUGGAGACAACACAAUUCAACUUUAGCACUUCACACAUAAGAAAAACCACGUUCAAUGGCACACACCUUAGAGUGUACCUAUGGUGGUUGAAUGGGCUAUAAGAAAUGUGAGUCCAUGUGAAGAUGCCAAACAUAAUAACACGGCUAAUUACACAUGCAGUGGCAGCAGCAACAAGUGCGUGAAUUCAACAAAUGAUCUAGGGUACACAUGCAACGGUGUCCUUGAGUAUGACAACAACCCUUAUCUUCUAGACAAAUGCAUGGUAUGCUACUAAUUUAUUUGCUACAAAUUCCAAUGAAUUGUGUCCUUUGCUUUGUACAUACCCAAUUAUAAUAUUUUAUUAUGCUAAUACAAUGUAGCCUUCAAUUUAAACCAAGGUUUGCAUCCAUUAAUUAUGUUAGGUUCAUAUGACUUCACUACAUAAAUAGGUAGAUAAUGCAUAAGACUGAGAUUGUAGCUAGGGAUGAAAAUCUAAAUACGGCAUGAAUCUAACAAUUAUGAGUAAUGUCUUUGUGACAAGAACUUUCUUUGUCUUUUAUUCCCAUGUUUGAACUAGUAUAGGUCAGGGUUACACAUUAUGGUGCACAUCACUUUAUUUGUCACCGUUACAUUGAACACCCAUUGACUAAACAACGAUAAUCCAUCCGUCUUGUAUUACAGGUCUUCAUUUCAUUGGCCACCGAUGCUUGUAAGACUACUCCCAGAUGGUUGUUGUUGUGGAUAUGGUUGUUGAGGUUGGUGUGGUUGCUGGGGGAAUGGUUGUUGGGGUUGCUGGGAAAUUGUUUGUUCUAGUUGCUGGGAUAAUUGUUGUUGGGGCUGCAAAAAUGGUUGUUGUGGUUGCAGGAUGGAUGGUUGCUGGGGUUGGGGCUGGGGAAAUGAUUGUUGUGAUUGUUGGGGUUGCUGGGAAAAUGGUUGUUGCGGUUGAAGGGGGAAUGGUUGUUGUGGUUAUAGAGGGAAAGGUUGUUGUGGUUGUUGAGGGAAUGGUUGUUGUGGUUGUUGNNNNNNNNNNNNNNNNNNNNNNNNNNNNNNNNNNNNNNNNNNNNNNNNNNNNNNNNNNNNNNNNNNNNNNNNNNNNNNNNNNNNNNNNNNNNNNNNNNNNNNNNNNNNNNNNNNNNNNNNNNNNNNNNNNNNNNNNNNNNNNNNNNNNNNNNNNNNNNNNNNNNNNNNNNNNNNNNNNNNNNNNNNNNNNNNNNNNNNNNNNNNNNNNNNNNNNNNNNNNNNNNNNNNNNNNNNNNNNNNNNNNNNNNNNNNNNNNNNNNNNNNNNNNNNNNNNNNNNNNNNNNNNNNNNNNNNNNNNNNNNNNNNNNNNNNNNNNNNNNNNNNNNNNNNNNNNNNNNNNNNNNNNNNNNNNNGAAUGGUUGGUGGGGAAUUAUUUGUUCUGGUUGCUGGGGAAUUAUUUGUUCUGGUUGCUGGGGGAAUGGUAGUUGGGGUUGGGGAAAUGGUUGUUGGGGUUGCUGGGGGAAUGGCUGUUGUGGUUGCAGAGGGAACGAUUGUUGGGUCUGGGGAAAUGGUUGUUGUGGUUGCCAGGAAAAUGGUUGUUGGGGCUGUGGAAAAGGUUGUUGUGGUUGUUGGGGUUGCUGGGGGAAUGGUUGUUGUGGUUGUAAGGGGGUCGGUUGUUGGGGUUGGGGAUAUAAUUGUUGUGAUUGCUGGAGAAAUUGUUGUUGGGGUGUGGAAAAUGGUUGUUGUGAUGGAUAUGGUUGCUAUGAUGGAUAUGGUUGUUGUGGAUAUGGCUGUUGUGGAAAUGGUUGUUGUUGAUGGGAAAAUGAUUGUUGAGGUGAUUGUAACUCUUUGUUGCUAGGGUUUAGCUGCCUAGCGGCAAUGGCGGUGUUCAUCGCCAUGGCAAGGAGGACAAAGAUGAGGAAGGUCUUCAUGUUGGAUUUGUGGUUACUACUGCUUGCUUGCCUUUGAUGCUUGUGGUCUAGGUGUGUGAAGUUUGGUUGAUGGAAGGUGUCCUUGGUGGUGCAUGUGUAUUUAUAGUUUUCAUGGCAUGGCUUGCUUUCAUCUUUGCACUCGCUCUUUGAAAAAGUGCAUCAAUGCUUAUCCAACUAAUCAUUUGGUUUGUUGUGUUUGGUGCAACUACUUACU
RNAcentral lists this long non-coding RNA (75801 nucleotides) under Triticum aestivum (bread wheat). RNAcentral describes it as "long non-coding RNA (TAES_LNC024411)". Lineage: Eukaryota; Viridiplantae; Streptophyta; Magnoliopsida; Poales; Poaceae. The record is from RNAcentral.